AAAUCCAAAUAGACUUCAUAUACAAAUUAUCAAUGUUUGAAUGCUUGUCUGACUCCCCAAUCUGACAGACGAACCACCACCAGUUUUGUGCAGGUUGUCUCAUCACUCAUCUCCUGUCUUGCCUUUUUGCGUUACUUACACUUCCAAGGUCAUUUACGUACCAAAAACUAAUUCCAAAAUCAUCAGACUGUAAGUCACACAUGGACAGAAGAAAGAUCAAAAAGUUUUCAUGGUUUCCAAGGUGCCGGAGGUGGUGGUGGUGUGGGAAACAUUGGUGGAACUGCAGAAAAAAUGGUAUUCUUGUCAAUCCCGGUUGCCUUGUCACCAGACAAUGCCACGAGUGCAGCAACCAACCCUGCGUUGCCUGCUAGAGUUGGCUCCGUGUAGUUGUAGUUGGUGCGAACAUCACGAAACCCAUCAUGCUUGUCAGGUCCAGCUACCAUGGCUCCCACAAGUGUGUUGGGGUUUGGUUUUGACGUAUCCCUCCAUUUCCAUCCCCCUUUACAGUUAUAUUUGAUCUUAUUCUUAGGGAUAGAUGCACCUCUAUGGUGAACAUGCUUUGGAUAAUGGUUACCAAAGCCCACAACAUAGCUCAGUUUUCGAGGAUUUUUGCCAAGGAUAUAAUCAAUCUGAACAAAAUGACAGGCAUAAAACAAAAUUAUUGGCCACCAUGCCUUAGUAUGUCCCCUAAACUAUGGUUCGAAAAAGAACAGCCUACAACAUACCUGGGUUUUGGCAAAUUCACGCAGGACAUCAGUUGAAUAGAAAUUGGGACCACAAUACCAUCCAGGUGUAUCAGCAGCAUCAAGAUAAUCACUAUAUAGGGCGGCUAAGAAGGCUGCAUUGACUACGUAUUGCAGUGGCUGAGGCCUUCCAUGGUUUAACUGAAUCAAACCUCCUGUAUUAUAUCCAAAGUUAACAUGAUCAUGGAAAAGAAAAUAACCAACACAUUUGAGUAUUACAUGGUCAACCAAAAGAGCAGAUAAGUUUACCUUUUGUUCUAUUAAAGCUAGUGAAAACUGGAAGGAAUGAGCACAUAAUUAUGCUGGUUUGAUUAUGAAACGUACUCAAUAUUUCCUCAUAUGGAUACCCAGGACUCAAAAACAAUCUCAAUCGGCUCAGAAGCACCUAAAACACAAAUUUGGUUACAUUAGCAACGAACAAGGAAGCUAUUUCCAAGAAGCCUGUAGAUAGACAAUCACAAAAUUAAUAACCCUAGGCUAGAGGCAAAUUGUGGCAAGUACAAUACAGUUGCUGCAAAAAUAGAUGGAUAAUUGGCCCAUCUAAAUAGAUUGCAUAUCCAAGUAGCAACUUUAACAGCCUUGAAACUAGUAAAUAGGAUCCUGAAAAUGUGUGAUUGUAAAUAUCAUACAAUACAAAUAGUUUAGGCUAGAAAAGACAAGGAGGCUACAAGAUACGAGAUAACUGAUGAGUGGCGGCGAUGCUUCAAAUAAAGUUGAGACUACACAAUAUAGAAGAUAAACAAGUUGUUAAUGAAAUUGAAAUUCAAUAUUGAGUCAUACUACGAACAUAAGGGAGAAAACUGGAUGAAAUUUUACAGAUGCCUUAAAAGAAAGAUAAUUGAUUGAACCAAGAAAUUUAACAAAUUCCAAGUUAACUUUAGCUGGGAAAAUGUCUUUAUAUCAAAUAAUCAGAACAUAGCAGAUAGCCAUACAAGGAAUAGAAUUAGAAAGACAAGCACAAGAGUUACCUGAGCACCGGCAAGCUUAUUAUCCCAGCUAAGAACACCAUAAUCUGGGCCGCCCCAGAAAGCACCAGCAUGCUUGGCAAGUUUAGGAUGAGUAGCUAACUGAAGAUAGGAUGAAUUCCCAGUGGCAUAGUAUAACCAGGCUCCACCCCAAACAAACUCAUCCCAGUAACUUGAGGAAUUAUAAAAGAGGGCAGGGUCAGAACCACCAGCACUAUAUCUGCCUCUUUGAUCCCUAGCAAACUUAAAGAGUGUUCGGGCACCAUGGACAAGCUUUUGAGAGUAUGCUUUGUUGUCUUUGAAAACGAUGGAAGCAGAAGCCAAAGCAGCAGCCAUUUCAGCAGCAAGAUCGGAGCAACUAUGACAUUCAUAUACAGGACGGGGGUAAUCAAUGUCCUCAGGGCGCAUCCAGCAAUAAUGAUCAUUUGGGGCUGAACUUCCUCCAGAUGUAUCUCCUAUCCCUACCUGUGAAUCCAUAAGUUAGCAUAUGAUAAUGGGCAAAAGAAGAAGAAUAAAAAAAGGAAUAGCAUUAGUAUUAUGGUCGAUUGCUAAUAUGGUAGCAAUAGGAUUAACACAAAGUAUAACAAUAAAAUUAUACCUGCGCAGCAAUCCUGUCAAUGGUAUCAGCAGUAUUGUUGAAGGUCUUGAGAAGAUAAUCAGUACCCCAUUUGAUGAUCUCUUUAACAUGAUUGAGCUCACCGGCAGCCUCGUAUUUAGCACUGUAUUCGAUGACACUCCAGCUCAACAUAGUCAUUGAAAAGGAUGCAGGAAAGUUAAACUUGAUAGCAUCUCCAGCAUCGUAAUAUCCGCCGACCAGAUCUUUCAUCAAAACGGAGGGAUCGGAUUUGCCAUCUUGGAGGCCCGAGUUCCCUCUCCACGACACAUUAUUAUGCUUGGGCAGCUUUCCAGCUACAGUGGAUUCAUAUAUAUAAGGAUUAUAAAUAAUUCAACGAUACACAAUCAGUAAAUUGUAUGUAUCUACUGCUAUUAUCAUGUUCUAUAAUGCAGGGUUGAUUAGACUCGUGAAUCUAAUAAAUACUCAAUUUAGUAAUCAUGUUUAUUUCCAUUUUGCUUAAAUGGGAUGGGAUCGUAUAGAAGUUGAAUCUAAAUAACAUAAAUUGAAGCUAAAAAGAGAAGAAAAGAAAAAAACUAAACGAAGGGGAGAGAAAACGUACAACGCUGAGCAUUAAAGAACAUGAGCGCCUUGUGAAGAGCCAGAGUGUAGUUAUCGGGCGGAGAGUGGCGGUGGUGAUGACGUGGGACAGUCUUGACGAUGAGGGUGAUGAGUCCGGCCAGGAGGGCGGAGACGAGCAGGGUCCCCACGGUCCAUACAAAGAUCUUGCGGCUCACAAUGAUACAUCCGAGAUCGACGUACUUCUUCUUCUUCUUUUGCUCCCCGGGGCCAAGCAGCCAGCUUUGCUGAGUCUCGUCCAAGGGGCGAGAGAGUGCAGCCCUAUCCAGGUCCUGCAGAUUCCUGCUCCUGUCGUCGUCAGUGGCAGAAUCAGUGGCGUUUAUCUCCAGGGGACCUCCCCACGGAUCUCUGCCGUACAUGAUGAGGAUUUGGAAGAGUAGUGGGCUGAAAAUGCAGGAGCACCGACAGAUCUGAUCUACCAAGACGAAGCGGAAGGUGUGUUUGAUAAAUAAAAUGUGUAUAAGUAGGCAGUGGGUGCUUUCUUUAUUGGUUUUCCAAAGUGGACUUGAGUUAUGAGUUAAUGACUAUUCAGAGAUUCGGAUGGUAAUAUUGAGCUGUAUGAUUUGGACGGUUGCUUUGCUGUACCCAAUCAUACACCUUAUUAUUAUUUACUAUUAAUUAUUAAUUUAUUAAAAAUCUUAUUUUUGAUUAUUUAACAUUUACUUAAUUUACAAAAUUUCCGUCUUUUGUAAUCUUCAAACCAAUUAAAAAACUGAAUUAAGAAGUCACAAGAUAUAAAUAAAAAUAUAUAUUAAUAUUAGGCGCGGUUGAUGAAACUGAAAACAAUACAAAGUAUAAGGGACAACGACAGCCAACCAGUUUGCCGUAACGACAGCCAAACCGAAAUCUUAUUAUUAUUAUUAUUAUUAUUAUUAUUAUUGCAUUCCACAUUUCAACUAACGGUAGGUAAGAUGUAACCUAAUUAUCUAGGUUUUAACACAUGCUUUGCAUUUCUCUGCUUUCUCUCCUAUUUUUAAUAAAAUUGCUUUGAAUUAACAAUGUUAUUAAAAAUUGUAAAUUUUUAAGAUUUGGGAAAAAUCGGUUGAAGAGAAUAAAAUUUUAACUACUAGAAUAAGUUAGGUUUAUAUAUCGAAGAUAAUUUUCAUCAUUCAUUGAUUAAGCGGGAUUAAAUUAAAUUUAUUAUCUAGAUUUAAUUGAGGCACCGGAAUAUUUAUUAAAGGUAUUGUUAGUUUUUUUUUUGUGAUAAAUUUAUGCUCCUUUAAAUAUAAAUUACUAUUAAAAAAAUUCUCUUUUAUGUCGAAUAAAUGAACUAUUUAUUUUUGGCCAAAAUAUGAAUUAUUUAAUAAAUUAUUUUCAUAAAUAGCUUCAACUUUUAAUUUUGUUUGAACGUAUAAUUCUAACGAGAGCAAACAUACAAACUUCAUAAUGAUGUUAAUCAUCUCUACCCUUUUUUAUUCAACAGACACCAGAAGGGCUUUCAGAAAAAAAUAUCUAUACCGACACUAGAAGACGUCCGUUAUGACUUUUAUUUAUUUAUGUAUUGUAUUGUAAGUUUUGGAUGAAUCUACCUGAUUAAAUAAUUUAAUUUUUAUAUUAUUAAAAAAAUUAAAUAAGUCUAUAUUUCAAUAGUAUUGAUAUUUAUUGUUUCAAAAUUGUCAUUUAUUAUUAACAAAGUAAGUAUUUUGAAUUUUAUGAUUCUCAAAAUUUUAUAUUUAAAGUUAAACUGUAAAAAAGAUAUUUCUUAUCAUUUUUAACUGUAGAUACUUUAUUACAAAUUGGGGUUUAUUUAAUAUCUUUUAAUAAUAUAAAAUAAAUUAAUAAAUUUAUUAGUAAAUGGAUUAAUUUGAUUCAAUUAUAAUAAAGGGACUUUACAAGUGCUUUCACCAUAUGUUCUCUUCCUUCCAUCUUCUGCUUUGACACUUCGGCUAGGUCCAAAAUGGCAUUGUUUCUGUGAGGUUCCAAAAAUUUGAUAUACAAUUUGUGUCAUUCCGAAUUAAGUUGUUAUGAUCCGAAAUUCUUGAUGUUAGAUUUCAUGAAAUUUUAGUUAAAUACUACGAAGUUUAUUGACAAUCAAAUUACGAAUUGAAUACCAAAAUCGAAUUUUCAAAGUUAAAAGUUACUUUUGAAGUUUUUUAGGAAUUAUCGGGCUUUUAAUAGGGUUUGGAUUAUUUUUAAGAAGAUGCAUGGUUAAGAAACCUUGAAAUUGAGGACUAAAUUGAAAAUGAGAAAAAUUGGGGAGGCUUAAUGAAAUUAAUUACACAAGAAAAGAGGUGGUGUAACACCUCGUACCUGUAUUCAUCGUUGAAACAAGGUAAGAAGUGUUAUCAAACGAUCAAAUUAUUUUUUUUUGCAAAAAUUUUGACAUAGUUUCUUUUCAUAAAUAUUCAAUUCCUCCUGCAAAUUUUCGAAACACAAUCUCAAGCAACAUCAAUAUUUCAACCAAAUACAAUCAUAUAUUCAGACACGAUUAAUCCAUUCAUAACAUCCUAAACUAUAUGGACAAUAGAUUUACGGAAAUAAUUCAUCAAUUAUAGAUACUAACAUUUUAAACCAAACCACAUUUUAUACAUUUAUAUAUAAGUUUAUACUACAUUGCAUUAAGUCAUCUAUACAUGCCAUUUUUCAAAAGGAUUGGUUGCAAAAUACCCAAGAGUUGAUGAUGAUAGUGAGGAUGAUGUUCUGACUCUGUCCAAUUCCCGAGCUGAUUAAUAUCACUAUAAAACAAAGGAAAAAGUAAGAGGAGUAAGCUUAUAGCUUAGUAAGUAUGUAUGUAAUUGAUAAAUAAAUUUCUGGAAUAAUAUCAUAUAUUAUAUAAUUUAUACCACACACAAAUCUAUCAUUUAGUCAACUUCCAGCAAACUGUUUUUCUGCAUUAUAGCCGCUAAAUUAUUUUUAUCCGGAGUUGCAGAACUCAAAAUUAAGAUCUGUAAAUUUUCUCUGAAACUAGACUCAUAUACCUUCUUACCAUAAAAUUUUCAGAAUUUUUGGUUCAGUAAAGUAGUACAGUUUAUUCUCUAAAUAUUCCCCUGUUUCACUAUUUGACACUUCUGACCUCUCAUUACUAAAAUUUAUUUUACUCUUUGUAAAAAAUUCAAACAAUGUUCUCGUUUCUUUCUCUUAAAAAUAGACUCAUUAAGGAAUUCAAGAAUGUAAAUUUCAAGCCAUAAUUAUUUUUUAAAAAUUUUUGGUUAUUUUCGAAAGUCGGAACAGGGGAUUUCGAAAUCAACCCAACCCUGUCUCAAUAAAGUUUAAAUAUCCCCAAAUAUACAACUCCUUUGCUUACUUUGUUUCUUCCAUAUGAAAAUAGACUCGUUAAGCUUCAAUUUCAUAUAUUAUUUAGCCUCUAACUCAAUUUCUAUAGUUUUUGGUGAUUUUUCAAACUAACAUCACCAUCACUGUCCAAAUCUGUUCUAUUCCAAUAUUCCUUAUUCACAUAGCACUAUAGCCAUUUAUUUUAUAACACAACACAAACUUCAUCACUUCAAUCACUUUUCACAACUUAUUACAUUCCGAUCACAUACUCAUAUUUCAUCAUCAUGACGGUUUAAAAAAAUAUUCGGAGCUUUUCACACAGUACAACUCAUAUUAUUUUUUAUCAUUCGAUACACGUAGUAGCCUUCACAUAGUACUACACACGUGAUCAGUUUUACAGUUCACGUAGUAGCCUUCACAUAGUACUAUACACAUGAUCAAGUUUUACGGCUCCCGUAGUAGCCUUCACAUAGUACUACACACGUGAUCAAGUUUUACGGCUCACGUAGUAGCCUUCACAUAGUACUACAUACGUGACCAAAGCUUUUCGGUACCCAUUGUAGCCUUCACUUAGUACUACACAUGUAACCAUAGUUUACUGAUACACGUAGUAGCAUUCACACAGUACUACACACGUGCUCAAAGCUUUUCGGUACACAUAGUAGCCUUCACUUAGUACUACACAUGUGACCAUUAUUUAUCGAUACACGUAGUAGCCUCCACACAGUACUACACACGUGUUCAUCGACACCUUAUUCAAAUCUUUACUCAAAUAAAUUUAUAAUUUGUCCAAAACACAUUAUAAUAUUAACCUUUCACGUAUAUUGUUACGAAACAUAACAAAAAUAAUUAUAACAAUGUAAUAAUUACAUUCAACUUACCUCAAUACAAAAUGUAAAGAUUUUGCAAUUUAAUCCUCAAUCUUCUCUUUCCCCCGAUUAAGGUUGAUUUCUCGUCUUUCUUAAUCUAUAACAGCAAAUUGAGCUUUUUUAAUAUUCACAUUUAUUAAAACAAGCUUCGACUCAACUUUUAUAAAAUUACAAUUUUGUCCCUAAACUUUUGCAUAAUUACAUCUUUGUCCCCAAGCUCGAAAAUUAAAUUUCACACCUUAUUCUUAUGUUUUACAACAUUCUGAACACUUUUCCCUUCUAUGGCAACAUCAAAUUCUCACUGUAACAUACACUUAUGAACAAUAAAUAUUUUUACCGAUUAUGUCGAUUAACUCGUUUUUGCUUAAAACCACUUAGCAAAAGUUGUUUAACAUAAUUUCUAGCUUCAUAUUCCACCAUAAAACAGCAAAAUAAACACACUUCACGUAUGAGUAUUUUUCCAAAUAUAAACCCUAACAUGAAUUAUUGAUAGAAUAAGCUAAACCGAGCUACGAGGAUUUCAAAAAUGCGAAGAACAUUAAAAACGGGGCUAAGAUGCACUUACUAUGAGCUUGAAAAAUCAAAGAAACCCUAGCUAUGGUGUCUUCCAAUUUUUGGCAGCAACUUAUGGAGAAGAUGAUGAUUUUUGCCAUCUUUUUCCCUUUUCAUUCUUUUUAUUACCUAAUGACUAAAAUGCCCCAUUUAAAAAAAAUUCAUUUCACCCAUUUCUUAUGACUAUCUUUGUCCAUCAAUUUACUAAUGGUCUAAUUACCACAUAAAAACCUCCAAUUUAAAAUUUCAUAACAAUUAGACCCCUCUAAGAUGUAGAACUCAACUUUUGCACUUUUUACAAUUUAGUCCUUUUGACUAAAUUAAAUGCCCAAAUGUCAAAAUUUUCGAACGAAAUUUUUACGAAAUUUUUCCGUGAAAUUAUAGACCUUAAAAAUAUAAUGAUAAUAAUAUUUUCCCUCGUCAGAUUUGUUGUCCCGAAACCACUGUUCCGACUAAACCCAGAAUCGGGCUGUUACAACACUCCCCCUUAGGGAUUUUCGUCCUCGAAAAUCUUACCAGAAAAUAGGUUUGGGUACUGUUUCCUCAUAACUUCCUCCGGUUCCCACAUAGCCUCUUUCAUUCCAUGUUUUUGCCACAACACUUUCACUAAUGCUACACUUUUAUUUCUUAACUGUUUGAUCUCUCGGGCCAAAAUCUUUAUCGGUUCCUCCUCAUAAGUCAUAUCUGGCCGAAUUUCAAUCUUAGUAGGAGAAACUAUAUGUGAAGGAUCUGAACGAUAGUGCCGCAACAUCGAUACAUGAAAUACAUUAUGUAUUCUUUCCAACUCUGCUGGCAAAGCUAACCGAUAAGCUAUGGGUCCAAUCCUUUCAAUAACUUCAUACGGUCUAAUAAAACGUGGACUCAAUUUGCCUUUAUGGCUAAAUCUCAAAAUCUUCUUCCAUGGAGAUACUUUUAAGAACACUUUAUCACCCACUUGAAACUCAAUUUCUUUUCUCUUUAAAUCCGCAUAUGACUUUUGUCGAUCUGAAGCAGCCUUUAAGCAGUCACGAAUUACUUUCACCUUUUCUUCAGUUUCUUUCACCAAAUCAACUCCGUGAAUCUGAUUCUCACUGAGCUCAGUCCAAUACAAAGGUGUUCUACACUUACGUCCAUAUAAUGCUUCGUACGGUGCCAUUCGUAUACUCGACUGAUAACUAUUGUUGUAAGCAAAUUCAACCAAUGGUAGAUAUUUCUCCCAAUGGCCUUCAAAUUCCAGAAUACAGCACCGGAGCAUGUCUUCAAGAACUUGAAUCACUUUUUCAGAUUGUCCGUCGGUUUGCGGAUGGAAUACAGUACUAAAAUUCAAUUUUGUACCCAGGGCCUCUUGCAACUUUAUCCAAAACCUCGAAGUAAACCUCGGAUCUCUAUCCGAUAUAAUGGACUUAGGCACCCCGUGCAAUCUCACAAUUUCAGCAACAUAUAGCUCCACCAACCUAUCAAGUGAGUAAUCUAUGCAUACCGGUAUAAAAUGAGCCGACUUUGUCAAUCUAUCAACGAUCACCCAAAUAGCAUCCUUCUUCCUUGGAGUCAGAGGUAAUCCUGUCACAAAAUCCAUCGUGAUGCUGUCUCAUUUCCACUCUGAAAUCAUUACCGGUUGGAGUAAACCCGAUGGUACUUGAUGUUCAGCUUUCACUUGUUGACAAAUUAAACAAUUUAAUACAAAUUCCGAGAUAUCCUUUUUCAUGCCCGACCACCAAUACAAUUUCUUCAAAUCAGUAUACAUUUUUACACUACCUAGGUGAACUGACAAAUCACCACUGUGUGCCUCACAUAAAAUGGUCUGAAUUAAUUCAUUAUUUUUCGGUACACAUACCCUAUUCCGGAACAUCAGGCAAUCAUCUGAACUAAUUCAAAAAUCUGAGUCAACACCUGCUUCGUACUGAGCUCUCCUAGCUUGCAAUUCACUGUCAUUCUUUUGAGCUUCCCGAAUUUGCUGAAGGAAUAAUGGUCUAGCCCUCAAUUUAGCCAAAAUUGAACCAUCAUCAGAUAAGGUUAAUCUUGUACUCAUAGCUCUCAAAGCAAAUAAAGAUUUUUUGCUCAAAGCAUCAGCAACCACAUUAGCUUUUCCGAGAUGAUAAUCAAUCACUAGCUCAUAGUCUUUUAUUAGCUCAAGCCAUCUUCGUUGUCGCAAAUUCAAGUCUUUUUUAUUCAUUAAAUACUUCAAGCUCUUAUGAUCAGUGAAGAUUCGGCAUUUCUCACCUUACAAAUAAUGGCGCCAAAUCUUUAAAGCAAAAACAAUGGCAGCCAACUCUAAAUCAUGCGUUGGAUAAUUCUUCUCAUGCGGUUUUAGCUGUCUCGAAGCAUAAACUAUUAGUUUGCCUUCUUGCAUUAACAUACAUCCAAGACCAUUCAAUGAUACAUCACUGUAAACUACAAACUCCUUCCCUGACUUAGGUUGUACCAACACUGGUGCCUCCGUCAAUAAUGCCUUCAAUUUCUUGAAACUUUGUUGACAUUUAUCGGUCCACUCAAACUUAACAUUCUUUUGUAGCAACUUAGUCAUAGGAGAAGCAAUCAUUGAGAAUACCUUGACAAAACGUCGGUAAUACCUGGCUAAACCCAGAAAGCUUCUAACCUCAGACACAUUCUUUGGUGGUUCCCAAUCCACAAUUGCUGAAAUUUUGUUCGGAUCAACCCGAAUACCGUCACUUGAAACUAUGUCCCAAGAAUCUAACUUCACGAAGCCAAAACUCACUUUUGCUGAAUUUAGUAUACAAUUUCUUCUCCCUCAGAAUCUGCAACACAGUUCUCAAAUGUUCUGUAUGCUCAGAUUCAUCCCGAUAAUAAAUUAAAAUAUUAUCUAUGAACAACACCAUAAACUUAUCCAGAUACGGCCAGAAAAUUCAAUUCAUCAAAUCCAUAAAAAUAGCCGGAGCAUUAGUUAAACCAAAAGGCAUUACCAGAAAUUCAUAGUGUCCAUACCUCGUUCUGAAAGCGGUCUUUGGCACAUCGAACUCCUUAACUCUCAACUGAUAGUAACCAGAUCUCAGAUCAAUCUUUGAAAACACUGUUGCUCCUUUUAGUUGGUCAAAAAAAUCAUCAAUUCUCGGCAAAGGAUACUUGUUCUUUAUAGUCACUUUGUUGAGCUGACGAUAGUCAAUACAAAGUCUCCUAGAGCCGUCUUUCUUUUUCACAAAUAAUACAAGAGCACUCCAGGGAGAAAAACUCGAUCUCACAAAUCCUUUAUCUGUCAAUUCUUGUAGCUGAGCUUUUAAUUCUUUCAACUCAGUCGGAGCCAUCCGAUAAAGAGCAAUAGAAGUCGGUGCAGUAUCAGGUAACAAGUCAAUAGCAAACUCAACUUCUCUAAUUGGAGGUAACCCAGGCAAUUCCUUUGGAAAUACAUCCGAAAAUUCGCAGACUACCGGCACUGAUUCAAGCUUCGACCCGGUUAUACCAGUAUUCAACACAUAAACAAGAUAAGCUUCACAUCCCUUUCUCAUGUAUUUCUGGGCUGACAUGUGUGAAAUCACUAUAGGCGAUUUAUUCGGCUCUUCCGCUUCAACCCGAAGAAUUUCACCAUUUCCACAUUUCAAUUCAAGGAUUUUCUGUCUACAAUUUACCUUGGCAUCAUGCAAAACCAACCAAUCCAUCCCCAAGAUAACAUCGAACUCAUCAAAUGGUAAGAGCAUCAGAUUAGCCGGGAAACAGUAACCUUGAAUCAUCAAAGGACAAUUCUUGCAAACCUUAUCAACUAAAACAUAUUUGCCUAAAGGGUUUGAUACUUUUACCACAAAUUCAGUGUUUUCAACAGGCAAAUUUUUAUUAGAUGCUAAAUUCACACAUACAUAUGAAUGAGUAGACCCAGGGUCAAUCAAGGCAACAACAUCAAUAUCAUAAAGAGAAUAUGUACCAGUAAUCACAUCGGGAGAUGAUGCAUCCUCACGAGCACGUAUGGCAUAAGCUUUAGCAGGUGUUCGAGGUUCUAAUUUUGUAGCUAUACCCUUCAUUCCACUUUUACCACUAUCUCUAGUUCUGGUGUUUCUCGAUGGUCUACCUCUGCUAAUAGUAUCACUCGAUCUAACAUUCUGAAAUUUUUCUUCUUUAAUUUUCUCAGGGCAAUCUUUAAUAUAAUGUUGUCGAGAACCACACUUGAAACAAGCCCGGCUAAUUAACCAGCAUUCACCAGGAUGUUGUCUUCCACAAUGCUGACACUCUGGUCUACUAGGGUUUAUACUACCCACACUUGAUAUCGAUGUAGCUUGAGCUUCGGAACCCAAAUACAAUUUCCCCGGUCUCGACGUGAAUAUCCAGUUGAAGUAGUCACUCUAGGAUUCAUCUCUUUAGACUUCUUUGACUGAGUUUGAAAUGGUUUACUCAUAGGCCGCUUCCUUGUAUCUUGAGUCUCCAUCGCCGCUUUUCUCUUUUCUUUAUUCAAUUCUUCAGCCUUACAAGCUCGAUCAACCAAUACUACAAAUUCCUUCAGUUCCAACAUCCUAACAAAUAUUCUAAUGUCUUCAUUUAAACCAUCUUCAAACCUUUUACACAUAGCAGCUUCGGUGGGUACACAUUCUGGAGCAUAUUUACUCAUUCUAACAAACUCUCUUUCAUACUUAGCCACGGACAUUCGGCCCUACUUCAACUCGAGAAAUUCCUUGCGUUUUUGAUCGAUGAACUGUUGGCUUAUGUAUUUUUUUCUGAAUUCAUCCUGGAAGAAUUUCCACGUAACCCUUUCUUUCGGAACCACAGAUACCAAUGUUUUCCACCAAUGAUACGCUGAAUCUUUUAACAAAGAUAUUGCACACUUUAAACAUUCUUCGGGAGUACAAGACAAUUCAUCAAAUACCCGAAUGGAAUUUUCAAGCCAAAACUCUGCCUUUUGUGGGUCAUCAUCUAUAUUAGCUCUGAAAUCUUUAGCUCCAUGCUUUCGGAUUUUGUCAACAGGAGGCUUACUUGAUCUUACCAAGUCAACAUUUUGUGGAGCUGCGAGAACCGGUUGAGGAAUAGGAUGGGUGGAGGGGGUUGAACAUUCAGAUUUGCACGAACAAAUUUUGUAUACCAAUUACUCAUCAUUCGAAGGAAAGCUUCCCGAGCCUUAUCCUGACUAUGUGUCUCAUGUCUACUUUCUUCAUGCGCGGUCCCUUGUGCGGGAGCCGGCGUGUUACUUUCAACAUCAUCUGCCACACUUCGAUCAAGAUCCAUUUACUAUAUAAAACAAAAUUUUAAAUUGUCAGAAAUAAUCUCACUAUGACAAUAUUUAAAUGGCAUGUAUAGAUAGACUUUUACACACAUUAUACUAAUCCGAGAACUGGCUAAACCAUAGCUCUGAUACAGGUGGCAUUACAGGUGGCGUUGUUGUUUUUAUAAUUCUCAUCAUCAUCAUCAUUCAAUAAGAUUUAUAUAUAAUUUAAAAUUUAUAAAAUUUUUUAAUUAAUAAUGGUAAAAUUGUAUUUUGGCCUCCCAAAAAUGAUAAAAUUUUAAUUUAAGCCUUUAAAAAUUAUAAAAAUAUAAACUCUUAAAAUGGUGAAAUUACUUGCUAGAGAACUGCUUACUAGUGAUUUAUCUUUUUUCAUGUUUUAGAUGUUUGUUUCAUUUCUUUAAUAUAAAAAAUUAAUAAAAUUACAUUUUUAAUAUCAUAAAAAUAUAUAAUUUAAUUUUGAUGCCCGAAAAAUUUUCUGACUUCACACAUGUAUAUAAAGGUUUUUAUUAUGAGUUUUAUUGUUGUUGUUAUUAAUUAAGAAAAUAAUAGAGUUUUAGUUAAAUUUGAAUCCUACUGUGACCAAAGUCAAAUUUAUUUUCAUCAAGUUACUUCAGCAAUCAAAACUCUUAGUUUUUCUCCAAUACAAAAAUUUUCAUUUGUUUCCUAUAAUAAGGACUUGAUAAGAACUUUCCAAAAAUAAAGUUUUUUUUUUCAAAUUGAACUUUUCACAAGCACUUCUUAUAAUAAUAAUGUCAAAUUAACUCUCAUAUCACAAUAAUUCUCUUACACUCCACCAAACCCCCAUUUCUCAAACAUUUACAAUCAUGCAUCAUAUAUAUAACGUAUAUAUAUUCAUGUAACUUCUGUAACAUCUCAAAAAUUGGGGUUAGUAGAAUCGGGUUUGUAAAUCAAGAGAUAGUGGUCAUGGCUUAAUUUUUAAGAUUAUGUAUGCAUUUUUAAGAAAUAAAUGAGGUAUUGGUUUGUUGGAUAAGUGCUAGUGAAACAUUCUUUGGAACCGAAGUUCAAAUCUCUUCUCUCUCACCAUUUUUAUUAUUUUGUAAAUUUUGCCUUAAACCCUAGUAUGCGACAUGCCUUGUUUUUAAAAUAAAUAUUGAAAAAUUAUUUCAAUAAUGAGGAAGAAGCUUAAUAUUUAAAAGAAAUAUGAGAAAACAUGGAAAUGAAAUGAGGUCCCAAGUUUAAAUCAUUUCUCUUGCGAAAUAAUUUAAAUUUUGGCAAAAAUCCCUUGUUAUUAUUGAGUGUACCACCCAAGCCUAGUAACCCUAGGUAUAAAUGUUAAUAUUUCACAAAUAAUCAGCCUUAAAUCCUCCUCUUCAUUUCCCUAGUUUUUCAUUCCUCCUCUCCCUUUCUUUGAUCUUAUUGUUUUUCCUUUCCUCUAUUAAUGCUGUCGCAUACACCUCCCAUUUUACAAUCUUUUUCUUUUUAUUUUUGCGUCAAGAUUGUGUACCAUCUUCUUUAUUAUAUCAUUUCCAUUUAUCAUCAUCUAAAUCAGCCCCAAAUCUAAAAUCUUGAACACCAAGAACGGAACAUUGCUAAGAAAGUGUCAUUGUCGUUUCUCUCAACUAGCUUGGGGAGAAAAGUUCUUGAUCAAUUAGCCAAUUGGAUCCCACAAAUCGUGAAGUGUGCUGACCCAAACGUACCAAUAAUCAAUAAAGGAGAAGAACAAUUGUACAUACAGUUCGCAUCGAUACAGUGAAUUAUUAAGGAAAAUUAGAAGAUUCGCUAGUGUGCUGCGAGGAAGCGAAAAAUAAGGUGUGGGUCUAAACUCAUAAAAUUGUUUGAAAAUGUUAAAUAUCAUGCUAUAUUUGAUAAAUUAGACUACUGAUUGGAUUGGCUUAAUAUCCAAAUUAUUGAUUUUAUGAGUGGUCGAACCAGGUAUGUUUCGAGACUUAAAAGAUUGACAUGUUGGAAAAAUUGCUAGUUUGAUAGUAUGAAUGUUUGAUUGAGUUUGUAAUUGUAUAUUUGAGUCAUGAGGUAUGAGAAUUUUUGACUGAAUGAGAUAAUGUAUUGAGAUAUUAAGCUUAUGUAUGAUUUAAAUGCAUGAGAUAUUUGUUAUAUUGUGUAUUGAAAAUGGUGUUAUAUAUGCACAUUGAAAAUUUGUAAAGUAUGUGAAACUGAACGAUAUUGAUUGAUACCAACACAAUUGUAAUUUGAAAGAUUGGAACACUAUUUCCAUUUACUGAAAGUAUGUGAUUACAGAGGACAUGCUUAGCAUGUCAAAUGGAUGUGAAAAGUAUUGAGAUAUGACUAUGUAUGAGAUUGUGUGACAUAUGGCAUAAGCAUUGGGUUGGGAUUUUGUGGUUGAUGGAGGAGUUUUGUGGAGUACCAGUGGCAUAUUAAGUCCACAUUAUUCAAAGUUAGUGCACUGCACUUGGAGUAUCGAGGGGAAUGGCGAUUUAUCGCAUUUUUACUGGCAACUUGUCUGCAUUCUUACUGGCAGAAUUUUUUGCAUAUUGUUAUUGGUGGUUUUAACCAUAACGGGUUUAAGCCUAUAAUGUUUUGGAGUUCGGCUAACAGGUUCUGGGGAAUUCAUAGUGUGUAGUGGAUGGUAUGGGUAUGAACCUUUUCGUAUUGCAUCAUGUGCACGACAUAUUCGAAUGUUAUUGCUACGUAUUGUAUUUUAUUGUAUUGAAUGGUAUCAAAAUUAAUGAUUGUUACUCAAAUGAGUGAUGACCUAUACUCAUACAUCGUUGGGCAUCAAUUUGAUAAUGGUUAUGUAAUGAUAUGAAAUUUCUAUGAUCAUUCUGUAUUCUUUUAUUAAUGCUAAUUUAUUUCACUUUAUUCAAUAUUUAUGCUUGUUUAAAUGAUUGUUCGACUCACACUGAGCUUUUCAUAAGCUCACCCCCAAUAGUGUUUAACUUUUCAAGUAAACCUUGAAAUUAGGACAAGACUCGGCAUUUGGAGAAUCACCUUGGACCUCAGAUUGUUUUUUUAAUAAGUAUUAAUCAAUCUCUAAUGGUUUUAGUUUAUAAUUUUUAAUGACUUCUGGUUUGUGGCUUGGUAACUUUUCUUUUGGGAUAUUUGCAUGCAUGGAUUACUCAAGCAUAAUAAUAGGAUAAUGCAUGAUAUCGGGCUUAAGUAAAAUUUGAUAUUUUUUCCUAGUUUCCCCUGCAUUACAAAUGAACCGUUUUUGAAAAACAAAUCAAUAAGGCAAGUAAGUUUCCAAAAUGACUUGAAAAAUAGUUUUUCCUCUACAUUAGUUUAACAUUGAGUAUAUUUUUUAAAGAAGAGAGACAAGCAAAUGGUGUUUUCUAAAACAAUACUAUCAAUAAUAAAAUGAAUCUUAAGCAUACAUGACCUAAUGAAUGAAUGCUUUUAAGCUAAUUUAAAGUACAACUACGAUUUUGUCUAAAGUGAGUUUAUUUAAGGUAUUCAAAAGUAACGUAAGUUAGUUGAGCCAUUUCGAUGGCUAAUGUAGCAUUCUCAAUUUAGUCAUAACGUUUAGGCCGGGUUUUGGAGGUUACGUUUAGUGGUAUCAGAGCCUUGGUUCAAAACCUCGUACUGAGUUUUUAAAUCUAUUUAAGUAAGUCUACAUGCAUGCAUACAUGAAAAAGGGGAAAUUUGGAAAAAUAGGCCACAAUAUAUUUUGAAAAUGAUAUUCUAGAAAGAAAAUCAGGUUUGAGACUCCGAUGUUGGUUGCCAUAGAAAAGAUACUAUGAACUUAUAGGUAAACACUUGAGGUGUAUUACUGUAGACAUAGAAUUGAAAUAGUUAGUAUUUAUUUUUUCUUUGAGAUUGUAAGAUAGGAAACUAAAAAUUAACUGAAGUUAGCUAGUGAUUGUUUUUUUUUGAAAUUGUAGAUCAAAAUUAAGACCAUAGGAUAGAUAAUGAACUACUGUAGAAUGGGGAACCAUGGGGCUCAGCGUCGAGCUGUCAGAUUGCGUCAUUUUCUUUUUAAGGAAUUGUGCCUAACCCUGAGACGAAUGACAUCGUGAUUGCGCCUACUUCUAAAGGUGAAAACUAGGAGGUUGGGGAUGAUGCAGUGUCCCAAGCGAUAUUGGGAGUCUUAGAAAAGGUUUUCAAGAUUAUGGUUGAAAGGACUAAUAUGGAGGGAGAGAGUAAAUACUUAGAGUGCAAGAGAAAGGAAAAGAUUAAAGCUCGAAAAAGGAGAGUGUCUACUUGCACUGGUCCAAAUCUACGACCUUUAAAGUGGGCUAGAGGAGUCAGACCACAACGAAAAGUUGUAGUAGUUAUUAUUGGAGAAAUUGUUAGAUCAGCUAAGGUUUCGAUUUGUAGAUAUUAUGGUAAGCAUAAUCUAGUAGAGUUUCUGUUAAAAUUGAGAAUUGGGGUAAAGGAAUUUGUUAGUAAUGUUUACGUAAUUAGAUCUGCAAGAUAUAUGUUGGGAAUUUUAGAAGACGCAUUGUUUGAAAUUAUGUUGGAAUCAGAGUUGGAUGGCAAAAACUUGGUGGCCCAGUUUGAAGGAAAAUGGGUAAAAUAUUUUAUAACUAAGAAAAUUUCGAGGACCAAAUUUCUUUUAGGAGGGGAGAAUUAUAACAUCUCAAAACUCGGGGGUUAGUAUAAUCAAGUUUGUAAAUUGAGAGAGAGUGUUCAUGGCUUAAUUUUUAAGAUUAUCUAUGCAUUUUUAGGAAAUAAAUGAGGUAUUGGUUUGUUGGAUAAGUGUUAGUGAAACAUUCCUUGAAACCGAAGUUCAAAUCUCUUCCCUCUUACCAUUUUUAUUAUUUUGCAAAUUUUACCUUAAACCCUAUGAUGCAACAUGCCUUGUUUUAAAAAUAAAUAUUGAAAAAUUAUUUCAAGAAUGAGGAAGAAGCCUAAUGGUUAAAAGAAAUAUGAGAAAGCAUGGAAAUUAAAUGAGAUCCCAAGUUUGAAUCCUUUUCUUUGCGAAAUAAUUUAAUUUUUGGCAAAAAAUCCCUUGUUUUUAUUGUGUGUCCACCCAAGCCUUGUAACCCUAGGUAUAUAUGUUAAUUUUUCACAAAUAAUCAACCUUGAAUCCUCCACCUCAUUUCCCUAGUCGUUCAUCUCCUUCUCUCCCUCUCAUUGAUUUUAUUUUUUUAUUUUCCUCCAUUAAUGCCGUCGCCUACACCUCCCAUUUUACAAUCUCUUUCUUUUUCUUUUUUGCCUCAAGAUUGUGCACCCUCUUCUUUAUUAUAUUGCUGCCAUUUAUCCUUAUCUGAAUAAGCCCAAAAUCUAAAAUCUUUAACCCCAAGAUCGAUCCUGAACAUUGCUAAGAAAGUGUUAUUGUUGUUUCUCUCAACUAGCUUAGGGAGAGACGUUCUUGAUCAAUUAGCUAAUUGGAUCCCACAAAUCAUGAAGCAUGCUAACCCAAAGGCCCCAAAUCAUCCGUAAAAGCAAAGGAUGAUUGUACGUAUGGUUCGCAUCGAUACAAUGAAUUAUUAAGGAAAAUUAGAACAUUCGUUAGUGUGUUGCGAGGAAGCGAAAAAUAAGGUGUGGGUCUAAACUCAUAAAAUUGUUUGAAAAUGUUAAAUAUCAUGCUAUAUUUGAUAAAUGAGCUUGUUGAUUGGAUUGGAUUAAUAGCUAAAUUAUUGAUUUUGUGAGUGGCUGAACUAGGUAUGUUUCGAGCCUUAAAAGAUUCUCAGAUUAAACAUAGACAUAUUCAGUUUUCUCUACUUCUCCUUCUUGUUCGGUGGUCAGCUUCUCUGUAGUAGGUUAUUCACCUUCGUCAUCAUCCUUUUUAGGCUCCAACAACAACUUCUUAGGAAAAUCAAGGAAUAAAGGCAUGGGUUUUGUAAAGUUCUUCUGAAGAGAUUUCUUUAGGGCCUUAUCUCUUUAUUGAAUAUACCUCCAAGAGAUAGCCAUUUCCUCUUGAGCAUGACCAAAAUUAGUGGCCAACCUUUAUUGGUGUUUCUCUAGUUUCAAAAAUUGUUGCUGCAAAACCUCUAGAGUCUCGACCACCUACUGCUCAAAUGCAUUCUUAGAGGUUGAUGGAGCAGCAUCAUUGGGCUUGGGUGGAGAAGAUGUCGGGGAAGGAUCUGAAUGCCGUGGCAGUUCUUUUCUAGAAAAUUUCAAAGCAAUAUGCUUAGUGAUAGCACCUUUGUUAGGGAUUCGGUCUUCAUUGGGUUGAAGAGGAAUGCUGACCUUCGGACAAAGUGCAAUGAUAAAUGAUAAAAAAUUUAGAGUAUCGGCAUUUUUCUGAGCAUAGCAAUGGACCUCUCAAAAGAUAAUGUUCCCAACAUUUAUCCUUCAUCCCACCAUAAUCGAAUAGAUUAGUAGCAGAUAGGCCUUUGAGAUUGUAGAAUUGUGGGUGGAUGGAAUGAGACGGUUUUUGAGGAAAUGAUGCCAAAACCUACAGUGGGUCUUCAAAGUUACCCUGUCAAUGGUGUAAUAAUCAUUCCUUGAGACCGUCUAGUUUGUGCCCUCAACACAGACAUCAGUAAGCAUGUGGUUUAAUCUUUCUGCUGUCAUUGUCUUAACAAAAUCAGUGUGUUCAUCAGAACCAUCAAACAAAUCGUAUUGUGCAUUUCUCAAGUCGGCAUCAAAUAGUACUGAAGCACCCCUCACAUAUAUAAAAGCAUUUUUAGGGGAAGUAAGGUAAGCAUAGAACUCAUUUACUACUUUAGGAAAAACAUCGUUAGGAUGGAGACAAAAAAUAUGCCAUCCAUGUUGCUCCAUGACUGAGGAAAUGGCUUCAGUAUAGCCCAUAAAAGGGGCAUCUUGAAAAAGGAAUCCUUUUUCCAUGCACAGAGAGCAUUCAGAGAUUUUUUGGUGGUAUUUGGUUUCUGCUGUCUUAUUGAAGAAUUUACACGGCUGUGCAGUAGUAGAAGUAGAUGGUGCUUAACGAGCCAUUGCAAAGAAGAUGGUAACUGUAAGAGUGAAAAGGGUGACACCUUUAAAAGUUUGGGAUGAAAAUAGAGAGCAAAAUAACAGAGAAAUAAAGUGAAGGUAACAGUGAAGAGGAAACUGAGUCGACUAGGGUAAAAACUUGAAGGGAGAGAAUCUAUGACGUGGGUGAUUGGUUAGGCCUUAAUCAUGGUCUGACAUAAGUACCAGCAAAUAUUUAAGAGGGAAAAAAAUGAAAUACUAAGUAAAUUUAUUAAAAUAAAAAGUGGCUAAGAGAAUGAGUGGGUUGAAGCCUACAAAACUGGGACACAACGUACCUGCAACAAAAAGAAAAUAAAAGUUAACUAAAUUUAUUGAAUCAACUGAAACAAAGACAUUAAAAAUGAAAUAAUUCAAUAAAUAGUGCAGGAGAGAAAUAUUAAUCAGUUUGAAAAAAUGAUGGAAGUUUUAUCACGAAGUAUAGGAGCUCCAAAGUAAUUCUUUAACCGCUGGCCAUUUACUUUGAAAGUAGACCCAUUUAUUUCAUCUUUGACGUCUAUUGAUCCAUGAGGAUAUACCUGAAAAACUUCGAAUGGAUUUGACUAGCGAGACUUUAAUUUGCCAUGAAACAAUUUAAGGCUGAAAUUAAAACGCAAGACUUGUUGUCCAGGAACAAAUUGCCGUGGCAAAAAUUUGUUAUCAUGCCAUCGUUUGUUCUUUUAUUUGUACAGUUUGGCAUUUUCAUAGGCUUGAGUUUGAAACUCGUCCAUCUGAUUCAGCUCUAGUAAGUGAUUAUUUCCAAUAGAUUUGAAAUCCAUAUUCUGUUUCUUGAUUGCCCAGAAUGCCUUGUGCUCAGGAUCAACAGGCAAGUGGCAUGGUUUACCAUAAACAAGUUGGAAAGGUAACAUACCCAAUGGUGUCUUGCAAGCUGUUCGAUAUGCCUACAAAGCUUCAUUCGCGUAAAAAUAUUUUUAUGAAGAAAUUUCAGUACCGAUUUAGUAUAAUUUGUUGGUAGAGUAGAAACUUCAACCCACUUGGAGACAUAAUCAACAACUUGUAUAUAAAUAUUACCCCAAGAAGGUGGAAAUGGCCCCAUAAAAUCAAUUCCCUAAACAUUAAAUAGUUCCACUUCUAAAAUAUUUUGUAAGGGUAUUUCACAUCUUCUGGAUAGAUUUUCAAUUCUCUGACAGUAAUCAUCAGCCUUACAAAAUUCAUGAGCAUCUUUAAAUAUUGUCAGCCAAUAAAAACCAGAUUGGAGAACUUCUGCAACAGUUCAUACACCCCCAAAGUGGCCUCCAUAUGGUGAUUAAUGACAGUGAUACAAAAUACUCUAGAUUUUAUCAUCCGAAAUACAUCUUCGAAUGAUUUGGUUUGCACAUUGCUUGAAUAAGAAUGGCUCGUCCUAGUAGUACUACUUAACAUUGUGGAGGAAUUUCCUUUUUCCUUGACUAGAGAGCUCGGGUGGUAGCAAUCCACACUGACCAGAAAAUUAACAAUAUCAGCAUACCAAGGUAAUGCCAUGGCAACCAACAACUGCUCAUUGGGGAAUUCAUCUUUAAUCAUCUGAAUAUUACCAUAUUGAUUCCCUGCUUCUAGGCGUGAUAAAUGAUCAGCCACUUGAUUUUUUGUGCCUUUCCUAUCUCUAAUCUCAAGAUCAAAUUCCUGCAACAGCAAUAUCCAUCGAAUUAAUCUGGAUUUAGCAUCUUUCUUGGUCACCAAGUACUUAAUAAUAGAGUGGUCCGUAUACAUCGUGACUUCUAGUGCCCACAAGUAAGCUCUGAAUUCGUCGAAGGCAAAUACAAUAGCUAACAGUUGUAACGGGAUUUGUGCACGUGUACACAGUCGUUCAAGUAAUAAGUAAGUAAACAUGAGUUAUCAUCUCCAUAGGGACUCUAUAAGCUUAACCGAUUAAUUGCAAAAUUAUAAUCAACAAUUUAAUGUAAAAAGUCAAUAAUUUGGAUGGUGAUGAUUAAACUAAGUAAAAUUAAUUAGAUGCAAAGAUUGAUCCAUAUAUAAUUCUAAUCUAGAUGUAAUUGAACUAAAUGUUAUGAAUAAAUGGCUUUAGCAACAAAAACAAUCAACAAUAAAUAAGUUAGAAUAAUCAAUUCAAUUUACUUUAUCAUGCUUAACAAUGUUCGAAAAUACUUCCACGGCAACUCGAUCUUUCAUGAGUUUGGAGACCAAAUUAAGUCCUUUUAGAGUCUUUUACUUAGUUAAAUAUGCAUUUUAUUAAUCAUAUUAACUAAGGGUUUCUUAGCAUUUAUGUAAGGUCACAGGGACAUUUACGUUUGAAACAGUUUAACUAUAUAAAAAUAAUGUAAGGCAAUAGAGCUAACUAAAGAUAUUACGAACCUCAAUUUAGUCGGGUUUAAGGAUCUAAAUUGAGCGUUGCACUUUUUAAUUAUAUGUCUACUAGCCACUGACUAGUUAGGAUCGCUCAACUAACCUGAGUACACCCAAUCACGUAUGUAUUAAAUGCAUUAUGAUAUUAAUUGAAAAAUCAACUGAGGCCUAAACAUGAAUAAAAUAGAUCUUAUUGAAUUAACAUAACCAUCCUAGCAAAUACGAUUUAGAAUAUUAUCGUUGAUGUAAAAAAUAAUAAACUCAGAGCAAACAUAAUUAAAAUAGAUAACAAAAGGAAAGAGUAAACUCUAUUCAGUUCAGUAGCCUUUCGGAUCUAUUCUGACAGAUGCGCUCCUUCGUUCUGCUUGAUGCUUCUUUUGCUAAGGAGUUCCUAAGGUGGCCAACCAAAUAAUGCAUUUGACACAACUUUUGUGGCUAAAGGAUGGGAAGGAGAUGGACGUCUAUGCAAGGGGAGGAAAAGGGAAGUGAAAUGUAGAGAAAAUGAGAGAAGAGAAAUGAGUUAUGAGGGAUGUCUUAUGAAUGAGGGAUGAUUUGAAAAGUGAUAGGUACAUGGUAUUUAUAGGUGAAGGUAAGGGGUAGAGUUAGCUAAAAAUAGCAUUUGAAUUCCUUCUUUUUCUACCACACAUGGCCGACCAUAUUUCAAGGAAAAGGAGAUGACUAAGUCUCCUUAGUUUGAAUUCAAACCAAGGCUAUUAAUAGCCAUAAGGGGGGACAGUUUCAACAACAAAGUAGUUGGGCUAAUUUUUAAUUAUUUUCCAACUGUAAGGACCUUCAAUUAAAUGCCCCAAUGCUUGCUUUUGGGCUGCCACCUACUUGUGCCGAAACUGGGCUUUAGAUCCCCCUUGUUGGACGGUUUCUCAGUCCAAUAAUGUAUGAGACAUGUCCAUCCUUUGGCACCUCUUUUACUGGGUCAAACUAUCAACCUCAUGACCCCAAUUGCAUGGUCUUGCCAUCCACAUCAAUUAAUUUGUACAUGUCCAUGUUUCAUUCACAUUAAUCACAUCUUCAAUGUUCCUCCUACAAAGUAAAAAAAAUCACAUAUUAAUAAAUUAACAUGAAAUAAUAUAAAAUAUGUACAAAAAUAAUGUAAUUAAACACAAUUUCACAUACUUUAUAAAUUCAUUCCCAAUAUUACUAAUUAAGUAAAAUUCACUUAUUUUAAUAAUAAUUAUUCAAGAUAAACAUAUUUAUUAAUAAGAUGGUAAAAAUAUAUUGAAAAACCCUAUAUAAUUUUAAGUUUAUAGACCCCCAAAUUUAAACCAUUGCUCGUCCUGAGUAAUGUUCAUACAUAACACAACUUUUGCUAAGGAAAUUUUGCAAAAUGAUAAAAAGGCAUCAAUUUUCUCACAUAAUCAUGUAUUAACAAAAUCGUGCUCAAAAAUACCUUUUACUAAUAAGUAGCUUGAAUGUAAAUAUUAUUUCCAGAUGUUAUACUAAGCACGUCAUAAUGUCAACGUGAUUCAUAGUUUGCAUGCAUUUUCAAAGUCAUACAUAACAUUCACCAAUCAGUAUGCUUUCUUUAUCAACUAAAAAUCACAAUCCCAAUGUUUAAUUAGUGGUCUUCAUAAGUUGAGCUUAGUAAUUCCUCUCCACUAAUGUAGUCGGCAUAAUCAUCCAAUCAAUAGGUCUUUUAUUAGGUUGUAAUAGGGCUAGGCUAAAACUAGGGAUAAAGAGAAGUGAAUUUUGAGGUUCAAUCAUCUUAAUCCUAACUUGUCUUGGAUCUUUCUAUGUCACAACCUUCAUAAAAUUGGGUCUUUGGAACACCUCUAAACUUAUUUCGAGCUCAUGCUCAACCUUUACUAUUUAGACUUUGAGCAAACUUUACUCUUUAUUUUUGAGAAUUUGAGCAAUCUUUUCUUUUCUUUUUAUUCUUUUGAACAAACUUACCUUUGUUUUUUUUUUUGAAUCAUGUGAAGAGCUUGUACAUCUUUUCAUAUCUUUCCUCAAACUUUGAUCACCAAGACAAAUUCAGUUAAUGUAGGUGCAAAAGAAAAGGAUAAAAUAAAAAAAGAUGAUAAUGUGGCUUAUAAUGUACGUACUUUGUAAUAAACAGGCCAUUAAGCUCAAAAAUUUUCAAGGGUUAAUUUAAUAAAGUCGGCUUGCAAGGCUCAAACGAUCCAAAAAAAUGUGCCUAUAUCAUAGUAGAUUCUUAUACCUCCUAGGAUUUCACCUCAAGAAAGUUACUAAGUAAAAUCUAAAUACUUAAAGCUUUAUACAUGUCUAUUUAUAAAGAAAUCAAAUUUUCAUGGCAAAUACUACAUAAGACUAAAGAUAAUACAAGCAUUCCAUCAUUCAAGACAACAUACAAAUAACUUAGAUAAAAUUAGAAAUCAUGCUUGCAUUUGAACAAACUUAUGAACAAAAAUUCUUUCUGAACAUUCAUUCAUUUCAGCAUACUUAAGUAAAAAGAUUGAAAUCAUACUUUAAAAUUCAUGCAAAAUACCUUAUUAAAAAUUCAUGUGAAAUGUCUUACCCCCUUUAAAAAGAAGCAAUGUCCUCAUUGUGAAAACAAAGUAAUGAAUGAAAACUGAACACCAGGUAGGGUUGCAAGAAAAGAGAGGUGAGUCAUAAAGACUACUUAAGUACCAAGUAUUUCUUAACAAUCCAAUCCUAUACAUGUUCAUUCCCAUUAGCACAUCACUUUAUUUUAUUCUAUUAAAGAGGCAUUGAGCUUAUUUAUUCACGCUUGCUAUUUAAUUAUGCAAAAGCAAAAUUCUAACUAAGAAAUAAAAAUAAACACCUAAAAAGAAAUAAAAAUUAAAGAUAAGAAAUUCCCUCAUUUUAUUUAUUUGACUUAUCCUUCUCGUCUUCCUCCUUUGAUGUUUCAUUCUCGCUUGCAUUCUCAUAUUCCUUCCAUGACUCGGAGAUAUAAUCUGGGAACUCAAGAACAAAAUUGUUAGAGAAUUUUAAAAGUAUUUCUUACGGAAUCAUCUCUAACUUUUUCAUAUUUCCAAUAAGCCUGUUGUUGGUUAUGCAUAAAUUUCAUCAUAUCCAUCAUAAUUUACAAUUUCGAUUUCUUUCUAGUGUUUGAAGAAGUGGGCAUAGGAAUAGUCAACUCAAGAUCAAUACUUGGUUCAACUGGCUCAUCAGCAUUCAGUUCCUCUCUUGGUUUAGAGACUUUCAGUUCCUUUAUCGGUUAUAGAUUACUUGGUUCUUCCUCAGAUUCUACUUCUUUUAUCUGAGUAAUCGAGUUAGCCUCUAUUUUGGACUUGUUCCAUGACUUAUCAGUUUCUAGUUCAGUUGGUUCACUUGGUUCAGUUGGGUUUAACUCAUGGGCAUUCUCCACUAACCUUUCAAUAUCAUGGGCUGUGAUGCAACCUUGAACAGAUGGGCCCUUCAAGUUUGCUUUUUUUUUUUAGCUUGGGCCCUUAAGCAAAGUGAAGUUAUCAAUGAUGGGAAAUAAACACUUCUAGUCUUCUUUCUAGCAUAAUUAUGGAUCUCCUUAUGAAUAAUGUUCCCAACAUUGAUAGACUUUUCUGUCAUAAUUGCAUACAAAAAAGUAUUCGCUCCAUCAAGAUGGUGGAACUGUGUGAGAUAGACAUGAAACUAUAUCGAAAAAAAUUAAAACCAUACCUUAGCCAAUAGUUUUAGAUAUUCCCUUUGGCAAGAAUGACUACCAUACUUUCUUAUAAUCCAUUGGGAUCCGGUAUUUGUCAAAAUAUUAAGCACUUAUUGAAGUAAAUCCCAAUUUGUAUUUGUCAUCAUGGCAAAGUACUCAUCUUCUUCAACAUCAGUUAGGUUAAACAAAUCAUUAAUGGAUUUACAAGUUAGGGAUACUUUUUUCUUGCGGACAACAACUUCAGUAGCAUCUGACUUAGUCAAACUAGCGUAAAACUCUUGAACUAACUCCUCAUCGGGUAAUGAUCGUGCAUCACAAAAAUAAUUCCAAUUGAGGGCAUCAGUUUCAAAUUGGCCAAGGCACAACCAUCUUAUUAUUGCUCUCUAAGUUGAAAACUUUUUUUGGCAUCAUAGGUUGAUUUUUGAAGAUGGAAUCAAACCAUUCUUUCUCUUCUUCAUCUUGAAUCACAAUGUGAUUUUCGACAGAGGUCUUGGAAGAUCUAGUUCAUCUGCGAGACUUGGUGAUUUUUCUUAAAAAAUAGGGAAAAAUUAGGUAAUGGAUGAAAUAAGGUGUUUGCGGUAGUGAUAGGAUGUGACGGUAAUAGGGUUGUUCUGGCAAAAGGCUCGUAACGGUAAUAAGCUAGGGUUUUUGUAACAAAGGAAGGAAAUUUGGGGAGAUUUUAAAGAUUUAGGCUGACAGCUAAGAGGGAAAAAAGUAGUUAGGGUUUAGGCUAAUUUCUUGAAGGGUUGUGAGAAACAUGGUGGUGGGGAAAGGUUUAUAUAAUGAUGAAUUAAGGCAAACUUGUAGCAAAAAUUUAGCUACAAAAGGUGACUUGGGCAACAAGUAUAGAAGAAGGGUAAAAAUGGUGAAAAAAUUAGGGUUUUGGAGAACCCUAUGGACAAAAACCUAUGAGACCUCCACCAUGCGCCUCUUUAAUUAGCACAUCUCGAAUGGAACCUUGAGGCAUAUACAAUUUACCUUCUUUAAAGAGGUAUCAGUCAUACUUAUAGUACCUUUUGAAUGCCCCAUUUUCACAAGCUUUGUAGAUUUCACCAAAAUCAACAUUAGUUUCAUAAAGUUCCUUAAGAUAAAGCCAAGUAAUUUAGAGUCUAAAUUAUUAAGAAGUGCAUACCUUUUUUAUAAUACGUCCGUAAUGAAAAUCUAUUUACCUUUCUUAUAUUUAAUCUCGUAAGGAAACAAUUCAUGGAAUUCCACCCAUUUGGCAUGUCUCUUAUUUAACUUGUUUUGCCCAUUGAGAUAUUUUAAUGCCUCAUGGUCAUUGUGAAUGACAAAAUCCUUGGGUUAUAGCUAGUGUUGCCAAGUUUCCAACGCUCGGAUUAAUGCAUACAUCUCCUUAUUGUAUGUUGGGUAAUUAGGGGCAGCACCAUUUAAUUUCAAACUAAAGUAUGCUAUGGGGUGCCCAGUUUGUGUUAGAAUAACUCCAAUCCUUAUCCGUGAAGCAUCACAUUCAAUCUCAAAAGUUUUUAAAAAAUCAGGUAAAGAAAACAAUGGUGCUUUUGUCAAGCAAUCUUUAAUCAAAGUAAAAGACUUAUCUUGUACCUCACCCCAAUCAAAGUUUGAACUUUUCUUGAUAAUUCCAGUUAAAGGAGCAGCUAUGAUGCUAAAAUAAGGGACAAACCUUCGGUAAAAACUAGCAAGACCAUGAAAACUUCUUACUUGGCUUAUGCUAGUAGGUAGUGGCCACUAUCGAAUUGCUUUUACCUUCUCUUGACUAACUUCGAGGCCUUUUGAGCUAACCAUUAAACCUAGAAAAACAAUUUUGUUAGUACAAAAGGAACAUUUUUUAAGAUUUGCAAAUAAAUUUCCUUCCUUAAUACUUCCAACAUGGAUUUCAAAUGAUGAAUAUGAUUUUCCAAAGAUUUGCUAUAAAUAAAUAUACCAUAAAAAUACACUACAAAAAUUUACCAAUAAAGGACCAAAGAUCAUGAUUCAUUAAUCGCAUAAAGGUGCUUACUGCGUUAGUUAGGACAAAGGGCAUAACCAACCACUCAUACAAACUGUGCUUGGUUUUGAAUGUGGUUUUCCAUUCGUCUCCUUCUCUCAUCCUUAUAUGAUGGUAGCCACUCUUUUGAUCUAUUUUUGAGAAAAUGCGAGCUCCACUUAGCUCGUCUAUCAUGCCAUCUAAGAGUGAGAUCGGGUGUCAAUACUUGAUGGUAAUCUUAUUAACUGUGCGGCAGCCGAUGUGCAUGUGCCAAGAGCCAUCUUUCUUUGGUACCAACAGCACGAACACGACAUAUGGGCUUAGGCUUUCUCGAACAUACCCCUUUCCCAUUAACUUGGUAACUUGUCUUUGUAGCUCCUUGGCUUCUUCAAGGUUGCUUCAAAAGCUGGCUAAUUCAGGAUUGUGGCUUCGGGAGUAAAGUCUAUUUGAUGCUCGAUGCCCUUAAUGGGUGGCAACCCACUUGAAAUGUCCUCUAGGAACACAUCCUCGAACUCCUAUAGCAAAUACAUGAUAGAAUAAGGAAGAGUGUUAUCUAAACUGUUAGGACUAAAAAAAUUUUCCUUGUACAUGAGCACUAUUUCGUUCUUUAGUGGUGUCAAAAAUAGUGGCUUCGAGACCACAAAUUUGACGAGUGAGUUUGUGAAUAUUAUGAAUUAAUAUUUAUCAGUUAAAUUUAUUAUUAUUUAAGUUUUGAUUCAAUAAAUUUUGCUAAUUAAUCGUAUAGUCAAGUUCGAGUGGUUAAAUUUUGAAGGCAAGUGGUUUUAAAAAAUGAGGUAUCAAGACCUCGUUUCUAUAAACUGAGCCGAUAAAUAUUUUAUUAAAUAUUUACGGACUGUUAUUAGGGUUAUAUUAAAAAAUUGGUUAGGAAAAUUUAAUGUUUCAUUGGUUAAUUAAAGAAAAAGGAUUAAACUAUAAAAUUUGUAAAAGUUGCUUGCUAGUAAUUUUCUUAGUUCAAUGGUCUAAUUAGUUAAGAUUGAAGUAUUUAUGUUGCAAAUAAACCUUAGUUAAAAAAGGUGGAUGGUCAAAUUAUGGAAUGGAUUGAAAAUUUGGUGUUUUAUUAUAUUUUAUUUAAUUAAAUAAAAGUUAUAAUAUUAAUAAAAUAAUAGAUAGUGAUUUCACCGUCUUCAUUUGAGUUCACCUACCGAAAUGAAAACCUAAAAACUCCAUUAGAGGACCUUUAUAUAUGGAAAAACAAAAGUUAGAGCAUGUAAGUGAUUUCUUGAUUAAUUUUUCAUGAAUUUUACAUUUUUGUGAUUGUUUUCUUGAUAUCUAGUUAAAUUAGGGAUUAAUUUGAGAAACUGUCAAGUGUUAGAAAAUUUAUUAUUAAUGUUUUAGAAAGCUUUUUCCUUGAAAGAUUAAUUGUUGGGUGUUUGAUGUGGAUUUUGAGUUAUUUUCUUAAGUAAAUUUUUAUACAUUUUGAAAAUUGGGGAUUUAUUAUAUUAAAAUUGUAAAUGAGAUGGAUUUCAUGAGAAAGUUUAGAAUUUUAGAAUUGUAUAUGUAAGGUUAAAUAUUCGACAAUUUUGGGUUUAUGUAUUAGUUGUGGGAAUUCGCUUGUUUAGUAAUAGGAUUAGAUUGUAUAAAAUGUAAAUAUAUGGGCAAAUGUACAACAGUGUAAAUAAGUGAAUAUAUGUAUUGAAUUGAAUAGUUUAUAAAUUAAAGGUUAAUAAUUGGAAUAAACCAUAUUAUAGAUCAAGAGCAAGUUGAUAAUCGAGGAAAAGAGGGAAUAGUGGAAUAGUUCCUAAACUUUUAUUGUUUCUGCAGUUUAGCCCUGGUAAGUUCGUUUAAGGAUGGAAAUUAUUAUCUUUUCCAUUUUGGAUGAAGGUAAAUAGUUAUUUAUUUUAUGUUAAAAAAUUCAUUGAUAAAGAUGUAAUAAAUUAUUAUUAUGGUUCAAAUAGGGGAAUUAAUCAAAAUAAAUGAUAUGAGAGCUAAUACUAAUGUAUUUAGUGAUGUUGUAUUAUAGAUUGUCUAUUUAAAUGUUACUUUAAUUAAAGUAACUUCAGGGAAAUUAAAUUAUUAAAUAUAAUUCACUUGAGUCUUCUAAUGUUGUUUUCUAGUUUAUGGAAUUAUAUAUAUAUGUGAGCUAUCUUUUGUUAUUUAUAUAACAAUGAGAAUUGCAAGUAUCACACACAUAUAUAUGAAAUUAAGAAAAGAUUGAUAGUACUAAUUCUUGGAGUUGAAAUAAAUUAUCUGUGAAUGUAACGAGUUCUAUCGUACACGGAAAUGAAGAAGUGCCCCUAUUAGCACUUCGAUGCCCCUGUAUACACUUUGGUGUCCCUGUUUGCACAUCUAUGCCCCUAUUCACACUUUGGUUCCCCUGACUGAACGUAUGUGCCCAUGUUCUACAUCUACGGUGCUAUAAAAAUCCGAUGUGAUAACAAUGGAGCCGUCCUCAGAUUUCCAUUCCCAAAAUAUGAGAGGGAAUUGCCACGGUAAGGGCCAGGGGUGCGGGGGCGGAGCGAGGUACGAACCGCAUACCCCAGUCAAAUGAAACCUCACGAUUUGAUAAAUUUUAUCAACAAAAUCAUGUUUUUCAGGAUUUUAAUCCUUGAGGUUUUAUACCAGAACAACCCUUGUUCCAUUAACCAAUUAACUCUUAUUGGAAAUUGUAAAUACCACCGUCGCAUCAUUACAGAUUUGUUAACAGUUAACAGUAAUGACAUAAAACCGAAUAGGCCACAACCCAUGAUUAACAUUUAAUCAAUUAUCGAAAGGAACAAUUAUCAGGUUAUGCUUAGACGAUUUAAACAGUCGAAAACGUAAUAAAAUUAAAGCAUGCAUUGCAUACAAUUACAUCACCCAAGUAUUUAAACCCGAGUCCAUAUCACAUAAGUGGCUCUGAUACCAUUUUUGGAUACCGGUACCCCCAUGGCAUAGGAAAAAUUAAUAAAAAAUAGUUUCGGCGAUCCAACCCAUGGAUCCAUGUGCGAGGAAUGAAUCGGGGUGAAAUAAUAGUUUCAAAAUUACCGAAACUUCAAUCUAAGUAGACAGUGACGCCUCGACAACGAGAAUUCUGAUCUACUAUCGAACCAAGCCGCAACCUUUUAUGAUUCUGACCUCUACGUAAUCCACCCAGUUUAACAAUGAACGAAAGAAAUCUCUAAAAUUGUUUUUGGAGAAUUCUUUGCUUGACGGCUGCUAGACCUCACAAGCAAAGUUUUUUUUUAGGUUUUUUUUAAAACUCUCUACGUAUCACCCUUUUAUAAUUGGUAUAUAUAUAAUGAAUUAUAAUUCAUAAAAUUUUUAUCCGAACAUAAUAAUCAUAAUUAAAAUAAAUAAAUAUAAUAAUGUUUUUCACCAAAAAUUAUAAUUACAUUAAUUAUAACAAAGAUUUCGGUAAACUAUAUUUAUUUAAAUUUAUAUACGAACCAAAUUCAUAUAUUAAUAGAACUAUGUUCUCAUUAUGUGUACAACAUCCUUGUACAUAUAAUACAUUCGAUAUUUGAUUGCCCAAUUAAAUUAAUUUUAUAAUUAAUUUAAUUCAUGUGGCAACCAAACACAAUACCAACUAUGUUUUAUUCCGUUCAUUUCAACCAUAGGGUGUGACCCUGUAGGUUCUUGUAACGUUAGCAGUAAUACUAGAAUGAUUUUAAUGUUACAAAUAAUGAGUGGCAUCUAGCAAUGCAUCAUUGCUACCUAAGUUACAAGAAGUCAUGAUUCGACAUAACCUUUUUUUGUGAUUAACCUUUCAUGCAUUAAUCCUUAAGUCCUUUAUCUCUGGAAUGGACACAAGUCAUGGAAUAGUCACACUUGCAUAGUCCAUCCCAUAUUCCUUGAUAUCUUGAGUAGACUAUGAUAUAUAAAUAAGUAUGACAUCUCAUAUCAACUUAUUUGAGCAUGGCCAUGCAUUUCUAGUCUCACUCAAUCAAGUGGCCUAAUAUAUUACUCCCAUUAUGUAGGAGGGAUUUAUCCUAUAUUGAUCAACCGUAUCCUUCUACAUAGGUUGUGGUAUAUACAACAUCAGCCUUUAUAGAACAACUAGUUAUGAUAUACUUUUGACUGUAUCAAAAUAUACAACUCACGAUGUUGGGAUAAUGAUGAUCUCAAGUCUAAGGAUCAUAUAGAUAUUAAUCACUAUGAGUAAUGUUGUGACAAUUACAUAAUAAUCCAAGAAACAUACUCAUAGCGGGUCAGUCCAAUAUGUUCUUUAACACACAUAUUCAUACAUUGAUUUUGACACUCCAUAUCAAUGACAACUCUUUAUCAUCAAUCAACUACAUGUUAGUCUUAAUGCAUUAUUGUUGUCCUAGUCAACAAUAAUACUUGACUAAGGAUCUUUUAAGAAUAAUCAUAUUAUUCUCACGACAUUAUUAUAAAACAAUUUAUUUAUACACACAGAAAAGAAAAUGAAAUAAUAAUGGCAACGCCUUAUAUGAAUAAACAUGGUAAAUCAAGUAUGUUAUUACAACCAUCUCAUGACUGAUCUUUGGACAUACUCUUACAUUUAGCUUGUUUAAGGGGUUAAUUUGGAAGCACACGGCCUGGGACAUAGGCUAUCACAUAAUCGUGUACCACACACGGUCACCCCACACGGUCGUGUGUGCUCUAUUAGUUUUGGUAUAUGUUACACAUAGUCUGUGACACGGGCUGAGACAUGGCCGUGUAUCUCAAGUUAGUGAGUUACAUAGCCUAUGACACGGGCUGAGACAUGACUCUGUAUUCCAACUUCGAAUGCUCACAUAGUCUGACCUAUGUAUGGGACCCCUAUUAAUCAAAUUUUCAAGUUUUUCCUAAAAUUUAUGUUUUAAUUCAUUUUGAUCCCUAAUUACUUUCAAACUAAUUUUAAGGUCCCGUAAACCUAGAUUAAGGCCCAUGUGAAUAUCUAUUCUAUGAAUUGAUAUAUAUUUAUAAAAUAAUUGCAUAUUUGUUUUGACUUAAGAUAAAUUGUUCUGUUUGGCUCUGUAACACUCUGAUCCUUAAUCUAGCAACGGAGAUGGGAUUUGGGUGUUAGAAGUACAAGCAAAGGAUGCUUCAAAAGCAAAAACUUUUUGAUUUCUCUUUAUUUUUGCAAAAACACCGAACUUUCCCAACUCACACUCUUCUUUUGUUUCAUUUUUCUCUUAUGUUUUUUACUCUCGAUUUUUCAUAAAUCUCUCUUAAAUGGAGCUGAUCUUCAUAAACUUGUUUGGGGGUAAGUGGUGCCAAAGUAACGUUCUUCCUUUGAUGUUCGAAGGUAUACCAAUUGGCAUAUCCAUCAUACAAUACUUGACAAUCAAAUUGCCAUGGUCUCUCCAACAAUAAGUGACCAACAUGCAUAUGCACUACACCAUAAAGAACUUCGUCACUGUAUUUGCCAAUCGAGAAAGUGAAGACAAUUAGCUUAGUAACUUUGAGCUCACCAUCGUCGUUGAGCCAUUGAAGCUUGAAAGGAUGUGGAUGCUUGGUGGUUGCUAGAUGUAACUCGGUUUGUGCAAGUGUACACAGUUGUUCAAGUAAUAGGUAAGUAAAAUGAGUUAUCAUCUCCACAAGGAUUGUGUAUGUUAAUCGAUUAUUUGUAAAAUUAUAAAUUCACAAUUUGGUAUAAAACUCAAUAAUUUGAAUGGUGGUGUUUAGACUAAGUGAAAUUAACUAGAUGCAAAGAGUGAUCCCUAAUGCAAUUUUUAAUCUAAAUCUAAAUUAUCUAAAUGUAUGAAUGAAUUAGCAACAAAAACAAUCAACAUUAAAUGGGUUAGGAUAAUUAUAUUAAUCAAUUCAAUUUACUUUAUCAUGCUUAACAAUGUUCAGAAAUACUUCCAUGGCAACUCGAUCUUUCAUGAGUUUGGAAACUAAAUUAUGUCCUAUUGGAUCUUUUACUUAGUGAAAAUUUCAUUUUAUUGAUCAUAUUAGACUAAGGGUUUCUUAGCAUUUAUGCGAGGUGGCAGUGACAUUUAUGUUUGCAACAGUUUAAUCACAUAUACCUAAAAACUAUGCAAGAUAAUAUAGCUAACUAAAUAUAUUAUGAAACUUAACUUGGUCGGGUUUAAUGAUCUAAAUUGAGUAUUUCACUUUUCAAUUAUGUGUCUACUAUUCAUCAUCUUGUUAGGAUCGCUCAGCUAAUCAAAAUGCACCCAAUCACGUAUGAAUGAAAUGCAUCAUGAUAUUAAUUGAAAACAUGAUUGACUUAGGCCCAAACAUUAAACAUGAAUAAAAUAAAUCUUAUUGAAUUAACAUAAUCAUUCUAGAAAAUAGGAUUUAAAAAACCAUAGUUUAUGUCAAAAAUAAUAAACUCAAAGAAAACAUAAUUAAUAUAAAUAACAAGAGGAAAGAGUAAACUCUAUUCAGUUUAGCAGCCUUUCAGAUCUAUUUUGACUGAUAUGCUCCUUUGUUCUGAUCGAUACUUCUUUACUAAGGGUUUCAAGGUGGCUGACCAAAGAAUGCUUUUGACAAAGUUUUUUUGGCUAAAGGAUGGAAAGGGAGAUUGUGGCUAUGCAAGGGUAAGGAAAAUAGAAAUGGAAAAGAGAAUGAUGAAUGAGAGAUGAGUGUUGAGGUAUGAGGGAUGAUUUAAGAAGUGAUAGGAGCAUGAUAUUUAUAGGUGAAGGUAAGGGGUAGAGUUUUCUAAAAAUAGAAUUUAUAUUCUUUACUUUUCUCUCACAUAUGUUCGGCCACAGUUCAUGUAAAAGGGGAUGACUUAGUGUCCUCAUUUUAAAUUCAAACCAAAGCUAUUAAUAGCCAUAGGGUGGACGGUUUCAACAGUAAAGUUGGUGGGCUAAUUUCUAAUUAUUUUCCAACUAUAAGGACCUUCAAUUAAACUUUUGGGUAGCCAUCUACUUGUGCCGAAACUGGGCUUUAAUUCCCCAUUGUUGGACGGUUUCUCAGUCCAAUAAUUUAGUAGAUUUGUCAAUAUUUUACUGGGUCAAAUUAUCAACCUCAUGACCUAGUUUGCAUGGUCUUGCCAUCCACAUGAAUUGAUUUAUGCAUGUCCAUGUUUCAUUCAUAUUAAUCACAUCUUCAAUGGUCCUCCUAUAUAGUGAAAAAUCAUAUAUUAAUAAAUUAACAUGAAAUAAUAUAAAAUAUGUACAAAAAUCAUAUAAUUAAGUAGAAUUUCACAUACUUUCUAAAUUCAUACCCAAUAUUACUAAUUAAGUAAAAUUCAUUUAUUUUAGCAACAAUUACUCAAGAUAAACAUAUUUAUUAAGUUAAAAUAUGGUAAAAAUAUAUAGAAAAACCCUAUAUAAUAUCGAGUUUACACCCUCAAACUUAAACCAUUGCUUAUCCUGAGUAAUGUUCAUGCACAACACAACUUUUGCUAAGGCAAUUUUGCAAAAUGAUAAAGUAGCAUCAAUCUUCGCACAUAAUCAUGCAUCAACAAAAUCAUGCUCAAAAAUACUUUUUAUUGAUAAGUAGAUCGAAUGCAAAUAUUAUUUCCAAACCUUAUACUAAGUACAUCAUAAUAGAAACAUGAAUCAUAGUUUGCAUGUGCUUUCAAAGUCAUACAUAACAUUCACCAAUCAAUAUGCUUUCCUUAUAAACUAAACAUAGAGAUCCAAAGGUUUAGUUAGUGGUCUUCAUAAGUUCAUUUAAUAAUUUAUCUCCACUAAUGUAGUCGAUAUAAUAAUCUAAUCAAUAGGUAGGGAUAAAGGUUGUAAUGGGGCUAGUCUAUAGGUAGGGAUAAAGAGAAGUGAAUUUUUAGGUUCAAUCAUCUUAACCCUAACUUGUCAUGGAUCUUUCUGUAUCACAACUUCGAACAAUUGCUUCUUUGGAACACCCUCAAACAUAUUUCGAGCUCAUACUCAACCUGUACUUUUUCAGACUUUAGGCAAACUUUUCUUUUCAUUUUAUUCUUUUGAACAAACUUACAUUUGUUCAUUCAUUCAUUUUUUUUAUUUUUUUAAACAUGUGAAGAACAUGUACAUCUUUUGUAUUUUUCCUUAAACUUUGAUCACUAAGAUCAAUUCAGUUAUGAUAGGAGCAAAAGAACAUGAUAAAAUAAAAAAAUAUGAUAAGAUGACUUAUGGUGUAGGUAAUUUGUAAUAAAUAGGCCAUUAAGCUCAAAACUUAAGUUUCAAGGGUUAAAGUAAUAAGGUUGGCUUGAAAGGCUCAAACGAUCCAAAGAAAGUGUUCCUAUAUCAUAUUAGAUUCUUAUACCUCUUAGGAUUUCGCCUCAAGAAAGUUACUAAUUCAAUUCUAAAGACUUAAACUUUCAGACAUGUUUAUUUCUAAAUAAAUCAAAUUUUCAUGGCAAAUGCUACAUAAGUCUAAAGAACAUUCAAGCAUUCCAUUACUCAAGAUAACAUAAGAAUAACUUAGUUAAAAUCAGAAAUCAUGCUUACAUUUGAACAUACUUAUGAACAAAAAUUCUUUCUGAACAUUUAUUUAUUUUAGCAUACUUAAGUAAAAAGAUUGAAACAUACUUUAAAAAUUCAUGCAAAAUACCUUACCCCCUUUAAAAAGGAAUGUCAUUAUUGCGAAAACAAAGUAAUGAAUGAAAACUGAACACCAGGUAGGGUUGUAAGAAAAGAGAGGUGAGUCAUAAAAACUGCUUAAGUACCAAGUCUUUCUCAACAAUUCAAUCCUAGACAUGUUCAUUCCCAUUACAACAUCACUUCACUUUUCCUAUUGAAAAGGCAAUAAGCUUAUUUAUUCAUGGAUGCUAAUUUAUUAUAAGAAAGAAAAAAAAUUCUAACUAGGAAAUAAAAAUAAACACAUAAAAAGAAAUAAAAACUAAAGACAAGAAAUUCCCCCGUUUUAUUUAUUUGACUUAUCAUUCUCGUCUUCCUCCUUUGAUAUUUCAGCCUCGCUUGCAUUCUCAUCUUCCUUCCAUGAAACAAAAAUAUAAUCUGGGAACUCAGGAACAAAAUUGUUAGAGAUAUUUUUAAAAGUGUUUCUUACAGAAUCAUCUUUAAUAUUUGCAUAUUUCCAAUAAGCAUGUUGUUGGUUAUGCAUAAAUUUCAUCAUAUCCAUCAUAAUUGAUAAUUCUGAUUUCUUCAUAAUGUUUGAAGAAGUAGGCAUAGGAAAAGUCAACACAAGAUUAACACUUGGCUCAACUGGCUCAUUUGUGUUCGGCUCUUCUCUUGGUUCAAAGGCUUCUCAUUCAUUUAUCAAUUCUAGAUUGUUCGGUUCUUCCUUAGAUUUUGCUUCUUCUGUCUUAGUAACUGAUUUAGCUUUCAUUUUAGAUUUGUUCGAUGACUCAUCAAUUUCUGGUUCUAUCGGUUCACUUGGGUUCAGGUCAUGGACAUUCUCCACUAGCCUUUCAAGAUCAUGGGUUGUGUAACACCCCAAACCCGACCUAAGAGAUAUGGCCGAAUCUGGUGGUGUCACACUGAGGUGUUUAGCAUAAAACUUGUUGUCGUUGAAAUAUUUAAAAUUAAUUAAUCAUUUUGUUAUUAGACGGUGAUUCCAAAACGGGUUGUUCAUUUCGAAGCGUGCAUCAUUAAAAGCUCAUCACUUUUAAACGUUAUAAAUUUUCCAAAAUAUCAUUUAUUGGGGAAGUUUUUUUUGGAAAUGUUACAAAAAUGUGGUGUUUACACACCUGAUGCGAUUUGCAAAUUCCCUUCGUUUCGAACACUCUUAUUCGAAACUCAAUGACCAUCGCACCCUUGGUUCCCAGGGAAUGUGCCAAUCAACCUCGACCACCACCAAUACAAAAGUCACCAUCUUUAUAUUAGACUCAUACUUGACAAACCAUCUCAAUUGCACCCGACUUACCACUCAAUACCGUUUCUCAAAAAGUAAUAGAUUACUCCUUAUCAUACCAUAACCACUUACCAACAAUGAUAAAACAGAUUGCAGAUCAGAGAUGUAGCGUACAAAGAAUCGAGAAUCAGGAUUAAUCUAUCAGUAUUCGGCUAAUGGAGAGCACUUGAGAGAGAGGAAGAGAAAAAUUGUGUGCUCUCAAUUGAUCGACGAACCCUUACCAAAGCCGAGCGAUAUUCGAUAGAGCUUAAAAAAAGAAGGGAGAAUAGACUAGGAGAGAAAAUCAAAAAGAAAAAUGGUAAAGGAGGAGAGAAGCUAUAUUCAACCAAGUUUGAAAGAAAAGAAACGAAACCCAAAUUCUAACUCUCACCAAAUUGGCAACAACCCCAAAUCCCAAAAAUCCCUGCUCCAAAUUCAGCUACACACUCUCCAUCCACUUCCUAUCCCUUAAUUUCUACUAUUAUCUCUUCACAACAACAACCUCCCCAAAUCCCAAUAUUCUCUCCUCAAAUCUCUCCAAAUAUCCUGCCUCAAUUCUCUCUAUGACCAGUUCAAACUCCAUUUAGCAGUAUUUCAAUCCAACUCUACCACCCACACGAAUUAGGCAACAAAAUAAAUACUCCCUUUUUGAUGCACUACCAGUCGAACCUUAGACCCCAUGUACACUCCACACGCCCCUUACCACUAGACCACCAACCCCUUCGUAUCAUAUUUUAACCACAAUAAUUUAAGAACCUACUGUCUAAAUUCAAUGAUUUUAUUCAUUUAAAAUAAAAAUUUUGCAUAAGCCAAGGCUUGAACCGCUAACUUCUCAGACACUUCCAAACACUCCUAAAUCAGUUAACCAUUGAAGUAGACAAUCAUUUAUUUCACUUCCUUGCACAACUAAAUAUUUAUGUGCAGUCUCCUAACAGCUCCCUUGUUCAAAACUAUUUCUUUUAGGCCCAAAAUUCGUGGUGUUACAAUUCACCCCUCCUUAAAGAAAUUUCGUCUUCGAAAUUUCCAAUAAUCAGAUCAGUCGCAUAACACAGGCUCCACCACUACGCUUCUGCUGCGCACUCUAGUUCCAAAUUAGGUAUAUGGCCAAACGACGAGGACCCAUCUCUAACACCGCUACGACCUCUACCAUGGCCUCUUGUACCUCGUCCGUGUGUACCUCUUUGCUCAUAUGAAAUAACGUAUUAUCAGUUUAAGAAGUUUUAUGUAAUAGUUUGUAAUUCCAGUAGUUAUUAACAUUUAUCUUAUGAAAAGCAGUAAUCAGAGUUUUGUUUUCACAAAUCAAGGUCUCCCUACAGUUUCCAUAUUCUUACAGUCUCAAUUUACUCUAACUAAUGAGUUUCAGUACAGUCCUACUAUCUAUAAUAGUCUCUCAGUGUAUUUCAGUUCAAGCAGUCUACAGUAUAAAGAAAACUUAUGGAUUCUGCGCUGGAGACUCGGUGUGCCACACUUGUAAACCUUCCAAAACACUUCAAGAACAGUUUUAAAGAAAUUCCAAAUAUUUUCAAAACCCAUUCCACAGCCGAGUUUUACAACUUGGCUCUGAUACCACUAAAUGUAACACCCCAAACCCAGCUUAAGAGUUAUGGUCGAAUCUGGCGGUGUCACAUUGGGGUGUUUAGCGUAAAACUUGUUGUCGUUGAAAUCUUUAAAAUCAAUUAAUCAUUUUGUUAUUAAACGGUGAUUCAAAAAUGGGUUGUUCAUUUCCAAGCGUGCAUCAUUAAAAGCUAAUCACUUUUAAAACGUUAUAAAUUUUCCAAAAUCUCAUUUAUUGCGGAAAAUUUUUUUGUUGGAAAUGUUACAAAAAUGUGGUGUCUUUGAAAACAGUUACCUUUUGAAAACCUGUUUUUUCCUACAACGAGUAGUUUAUAUCAAACUAAAUAAAUAAAAACCCCAAUUUAAAGUUUAUAACUUUAAAGAGGCUUUUUUACAUAAAAUACCCAAAUUUAGUUACUUAUAAAUCAAAGGCUAAAAUCAAAAGUUGAUGCAGUUGUGUGGCCAUCAUUAAGUCUUUCGCAGCACCGACCCGCCUACAACUGGAUUACCUGUACAGUUAAACAGGGGUGAGUUUACGAAAACUCAAUGUGCAAUCCCCUAACAAGCAAACAGUCAAUUAAACAGUAGAUAAAUGCAGUUUGGGCCUGAGCCCUUGAUAGUAACAGUCCAGUUUAGUAUAGGCCUAGGCCCUUUCCCGUAACAGUAAAUGAUUGGGCUUGAGGCCACCACAAUGCCAGUAAUCAGUAGGGCCUUUGCCCAAUUUCAGUAAUAGUAUCAGUGGGGCCUUGGCCCAUAAUAGUAACAAAUAUCAGUCAUGCAGUGAACAAUAUGUAAUAUCAUUAAUUGAUGCAGUAACAAUACAAAAUCAUUAAUCAGUGCAGAUAUGCAGUUAGAAAUCCUACCCAAUCCAGCCUCUAGACACCACUCUGUCCCACUAAAAAAAAUCAUGUGCGGAUAAAUCGACCCACCCAGCCAGACACACCAAGAUUAGCAACCUUAUAGCUACUAGUAAAAUAAACGACAUAUAGCCAUCAGUAGGUCCACAGUCGUCUUGGGUGACCCGUGCAACCUUAUCAUCACGGUACACUUCCUUCAAAUAUAAAAACCCAUCCUCAUGCAAUAUAUCGUGACAUAAUAUCAUACGUGUAUGUAAAAUGUCAUGCUCAAUCAUAGUCAUACAUAUCAUAAAGCAAAUCAGUCAUACAUAACAUAAGACCAUAACAGUCAUUUCAUCUCCUAGGGGUAUAACAGUCAUUUUACCCUAUGGAGGUAUUUUUGUCAUUUUACCCUAUGGGGAUAUUUUAGUCAUUUUACCCUAUGGAGGUAUUUUGAUUAUUUUACCCUAUAGGGGUAUUUUGGUCAUUUUACCCUAUGGGGAUAUUUCAGUCAUUUUAUCCUAUGGGGGUAUUUCGAUCAUUUACCUUAUGGGAGUAGUUCAGUCAUUUUACCUUAUGGGAGUAUUUCAGUUAUUUUACCCUAUGGGGGUAUUUCGAUCAUUUCUCUAUGGGGGUAUUUCGGUCAUUUUACCCUAUGGGGAUAUUUCGGUCAUUUUACCCUAAGGGGGUAUUUCGGUUAUUUUACUUUAUGGGGGUAUUUUUGUCAUUUUACCCUAUGAGGAUAUUUCAGUCAUUAUACCUUAUGGGGGUAUUUCGGUCAUUUACCCUAUGAGAGAAUUUUAGUCAUUUUACCCUGUGGGGGUAUUGCGAUCAUUUACCCUAUGCGGGUAUUUCGAUCAUUUUACCCUAAAUGGUCAUAACAGUGUAAAUGGGCCCAAUGCUCAUUACUCGGCCCAAGUAGGCCCACAUGCUUGUUCGACCUGUUUAGCCCAGAUUUCUCCACGACUAUGAGAUGUACAUUGCCCAAUCCAGUAUUUGCCAUAAAUCGUAGAUUUCAUCCGUGUAGGCCCAUGAGCCUAUUGAGCCCACACGACCCUUUUCGGCCCAACGUGGCCCAUUACGGCCUAAGCCCAUGAAAAUGCUCAUGGAGGCCUCCACAGUCUAUCGCCCAUGAUUCGUGGGUUUGGCUUACCAGACGAGCGAUCGCACGCUCAUGUGGUCUCAAAUGCCUUGCUUCUAGCUUUUCAACUUUUGCCGUUCUAAAGUUACAGUGGGGUGUUUACACACCUGAUGCGAUUUGCAGAUUCCCUUCGUUCCGAACACUCUUAUUCCGAAAAUCAAUGAUCAUCUCACCCUUGGUUCCUACGCAAUGUGCUAAUCAACCUCAACCACCUCCUAAACAAAAGUCACCAUCUUUAUAUUAGACUCAUACUUGACAAACCAUCUCAAUUGCACCCCAGUUACCACUCAAUAUUGUUUCUCAAAAUGUAACAGAUGACUCCUUAUCAUACCAUAACCACUUACCAACAAUGAUAAAACAGAUUGCAGAUCAGAGAUGUAGCGUACAAAGAACUGAGAAUCGGGAUUAAUCAAUGAGUAUUCCGCCAAUGGAGAGAACUUGAAGGAGACGAAAAGAAAAAUAGUGCGCUCCCAAUUGAUCAACGAACCCUUGCUAAAGCUGAGAGCUAUUUGAAAGAGCUUAAAAAAAGAAGAAGGGAGAAUCGAGUAGGAGAGAAAAUCGAAAAGAAAAAUGGUAAGGGAGGAAAGAAGCUGUAUUCGACCAAGGUUGAAGGAAAAGAAAUGAAAUCUGAAUUCUAACUCUUACCAAAUCAGCAACAACCCCAAAUCCCAAAAAUCCCUCCUCCAAUUUAGCUACACACCCUCCAUCCACUUCCUAUCCCUUAAUUUUCUACUAUUAUCUCUCCACAACAACAACCUCCCCAAAUCCCAAUAUUCUCUCCUCAAAUCUCUCUAAAUAUCCCUCCUCAAUUCUCUCUAUGACCAGUUCAAACUCCAUUUAGCAGUAUUUCAAUCAAACUCUACCACCCACAUGAAUGAGGCAGCAAACUCCCUUUUUGAUGCGCCACCACUCGAACCUUUGACCCCAUGUACACUCCACACGCCCCUUACCACUAGACCAACAACUCUUUUGUAUCAUAUUUUAACCACAAUAAUUUAAGAACCUACUAUCUAGAUCCAAGGAUUUUAUUCACUUAAAAUAAAAGUUUUGCAUAAGCCAAGGCUUGAGCCCCUAACUUCUCAGACACUUCCAAACACUCCUAAAUCACUUAACUACUGAAGCAGACAUUCAUUCAUGUCACUUCCUUGCACAACUAAAUAUUUAUGUGCAGUCUCCUAACUGCUCCCUUGUUCAAAACCUAUUUCUUCUAGGCCCAAAAUUCAGGGUGUUACAGGUUGUAAUGCAACCUUGAACAUAUGAGCCCUUCAAGUUUGCUUUUGUUUUGUCUCGGGCCCUUAAGCAAAGUGAAGUUAUCGAUGAUGGAAAGUAAGCACUUCCAGUCUUCUUUCUAGCACAAUCAUGGAUUUCCUUGAGAAUGAUCUUCCCAACAUUGAUAGACCUUUUUGUCAUAAUUGCAUACAACAAAAGUAUUCUCUCCAUCAAGAUGGUGGGACUGUGUGAGAUAGGCAUGAAACUAUAUUGAAAAAAGUAAAACCAUACCUUAGCAAACGGUUUCAGAUAUUCUCUUCAGUAAGAUUGAUUACAAUACUUUCUUAUAAUCCAUUGGGAUCCCGGAUUUAUCAUAACAUUAAGCACUUGUGGAAGAAAAUCCCAAUUUAUAUUUGUCAUCAUGGCAAAGUAUUCAUCUUCUUCAACAUCGGGUAGGUUAAAGAAAUCAUUAAUGGACUUAGAAGUUAGGCUUACUCAAAUGAGCAUAGAACUAUCAAACUAACUCCUCUUCGGGUAAUGAUCAUGCAUCGCAAAAAUAAUUCCAAUUGAGGGCAUCAAUCGUCUUUCAAAACGGCAAAGGCACAACCAUCUUAUCAUUGCUUUCCAAGUUCAAACCUUUUUCCAGCAUCAUAGGUUGAUUUUUGAAGAUAGAAUCCAACCUUUCUUUCACUUCCUUGUCUUGAAUCACAAUGGGAUUUUUGGCAGAGGUCUUAGAAGAUCUAGUUCUUUUGCGAGAUAUGGUGAUUUUUCCCUAAAAAUAGGCAAAAUUUUGACAAUGGAUGAAGCAAGGGAUUUUGCAGCGACGAUAGGCUUGCGACAGCGAUAGCAUGCAACGAUAAUAGGAAUGCAGCAGGGAUAUGGUUGCUCCAGUAAAAGGCUCGCGAUGGCAAUAGACUGGGGUUUUUACAACAAGGGAUGAAAAUUUGGGAAGAUUUUUCAAGAUUUAGGGCCACGGCUACGAGGAAAAAGAAUGAGUGGCUAGGGUUUAAGCUAAUUUCUUAAAGGAUUGUGAGAAUUAUGGUGGUAAAGAAAGGUUUAUAUACUUGUAAAUUAGGGCAAUCUUAUAGCAAAAUUUUCGCUACUUAAGUGACUUGGGUGGCAAGUAUAAAUGGAGGGAAAAAUGGUGGCGCAAUUAGGGUUUUAGAGAACCCUAUGGACGACAAUAUGGGGUGAUUUUUCUCCUUUUUGUUGUUUUAGGCCUUGAGCCCAAACUGUAUUUACUAACUAAACUACUUAAGAUAAAAUAAAAUGAUUAGUACUUGGGCCAAAUUGACCCCUUUAUUAAGCAAAACAAAUAAAAUUAUUAUUAAAAACAAAAUAAAAAUAAAAAUUUCAAAGUUAAUUAGAAAAUUUCUUCUCAAAAGAUUACAUUAAAUUAAUUCCCAGGAAUGGUUGGACGGUUCACUUAAGGUCCAAUCUCCUUAGACAACAUUAAUUAAAUGUACUAAUUUAAGAAAAAUAAUUUCUAAGCAUGUCAUUUAUUCAAAUGAGAGAGAAAGGAAAAACUGAAAAUAAAUUAACGGUAGAGAGAGUGAAGAAGACUCCCUCAAUGUUAUUGAUGAUUCUCUCGGACAAAGGUGAUGUUGAAUAACCAUUUAUCAUACCAAAUGUAUCCAUCUAGAAAGAAGAAGUAAUGUUUCCCAACAAUCAUAUUCAAUAUUUGCUCAAAACAUAGCAGUAGGAAAUGGUCUUUUUGUUUUGUUUGGCUCAACUUUCUGUCAUUUGUACAAAUCUACCCACCCAUGAUGAUCCUUAACGAAAUUAACCCAUUAAAUGUCAUAUACGGGAUCCAUAAUCCUUGCUUUUAACCAUUGAGACUUGAGUUUACUAGUAUCAAAUACUCGAGAUUGGAUCAAUCUCAUCUGUCCCUUGAUAGAACUCUUUUUAGUAUCUAAUGAUCUUUUCAAAACCGUUAAGUCUAACUUGAGUGACUCUUCUCUUGAUGGAUUGGGUUGCUUGUACUCAUGUGAUGAUAGCUCUAAUGACUCGAACUAAACUUUUGAACUAAAUUCUUCCAUGUUAGCUUCCAAACAUGUAUCAUCAUUAUGUUGAUAUGAAGAGUCAGAUGAAAUAUCUUCCAAUAGAUCAUUGCAUUCUAAUUUUGCAGGAACCAACAGAUUUUUCUCGGAGAUAUUAAAACAAUCUUUAACCUCAUCAGGAGAUCUUAGGGCCUUAAGUACAUUAAAGGUGACUUCUUCAUCUUGAACUUGCAUGGUGAGUUCACCUUUCUGUACAUUGAUUCUUGUCCUGUCGGUUUCUAAGAAAGGCCUUUCUAGGAUGAUUGGUACGUCUUUAUCGACUUGAAAAUCUAAGAUAUUAAAGUCAGCAAGAAAUAUGAAUUUAUCAACACGUACCAAGACAUCCUUGAUAUUUCCUUCUACAUAUGCCAAAGAUUGAUCCGCCAAUUAAAGUAUAAUUGUAGUCGAUCUGGCCUGACCAAUACCUAAUUGUCUAAACACAAACAUAGGCAUUAAGUUGAUACUCGAUUCCAAAUCGCACAAAACCUUACCACAAUAGGAUUCUCCAAUAUUACAAGGUAUGAUGAAACUUCUUGGAUCCUUCAACUUAGGAGGCAACUUGUUCUAAAAAAAUAGGCAACAUUCUAUAGUCAGGGCUACAAUUUCAAAUUCCCCAAACCUUGUCUUCUUAGAGGACUUAAUUUGGUUUCCAAACCCAUAAGAGAUCGAGUUGCAUAGAAGUAAUUCUGAACAUGUUAGCAUGAUGAAACUAAGUUGAUUUGAUUAAUAUAAUUAUCCUAGUCCAUUUAGUUUUGAUUGUUUUUUGUUGCUAAAGCCUUCAUUCAUACACUUAGGUAAAUUGCAUUUAGAUUAGAAAUUGCAUUAGGGAUCACUCUUGCAUUUAAUUAAUCCAAAUUUAUUGAUUUUUUUACAUCAAAUUGUUAACUAUAAUUUUGUAAUUAAUUGUUUAAGCUUAUACAGUCCCUGUGGAGAUGAUAACUCAUGUUUACUUACUUAUUACUUGAAUGACUACGUACACUUGCGUAAACACGUUACAAUUUGUAACAAGUUUUUGGCAUUGUUGCCGGGGACUGUUGCCUUAAUAAUUUUUUGGGAAAUUAUUUUUCCAGUUUGGUUUUUAUUUAAUUUCUAACAUUACUAAUUUAUUCUUUAUUUUAUUUUUAUUUAUUUUUAGGUGUUUUAUGAGCAUAGAUCGAAUCAUUGAUUUAUUACCCGUGGACCCUGAAAUUGAGGGGACUUUUAGACAAAGAAGAUGCAAAAAAUCUGCUUAAAGACAAGCCGAGAUGGACCUUGGAAAUCAAAAUAAUAGACAAGGUAAUGGAGUCAAUCAAGUACACAACCCAAUCCUUAUAGGGAUCGUGCCAUUAGACAAUACGCUGUGGCACUCUUCAAUGAGUUAAAUCCAGGAAUUAGGAUGCUAGAUAUCGAGGCACCGUAAUUUGAAUUGAAACCAGUGAUCUUUCAAAUGCUCCAAACGGUGGUCUAGUUCAAUGGUAUGCCACAAAAAAUCCACACUUACACUUUUGAUUAUUUAUGGAGGUCAGUGAUUCAUUUAAGUUAGCUGGUGUGACUGAAGAUGCAUUGAGGUUAAAAUUGUUUCUGUACUCGUUACGAGAUUGAGUACGAGCGUGGCUGAAUUCAUUGCCACCAAGUUCAAUAUCUACUUUGUAAGAAUUAACAGAAAGGUUUUUUGUUAAAUAUUUUCCACCAAGUAAGAAUGUAAAGUUGUAAAAUGAGAUAACAACUUUUCAACAAUUGGAUGAUGAGUCCUUGUACGAGGCUUGCAAAAGAUUCAAGGAAUAACUUCGUAAGUGUCCUCAUUAUCGGAUUCCUCAUUGUAUCCAAUUUGAGACAUUUUAUAACAGUUUCAACGCAUAUACAAGAUUAAUUAUGGAUGCUUCUACGAAUGGUGUGAUUUAGUCUAAGUCUUAUAGUGUGACUUAUGAGAUCAUUGAAAGGAUUGCAAGAAAUAACUACCAAUGGUUGACAAAUCAAACAGUUUCAGGAAGAUGUGUAGUCGGAGUGCAUGAAGUGGACGCACUGACUUCACUUUCUACUCAAGUAUCUUCAAUUUCCUCUAUGUUAAAAUAGUUUACCACUAAUGGUUUAAAUAAUUUUGCAGCUCAAUCACCAAGUCAAUAUCAUGUAGUUUCUUGUGUAUACUUUAGGAAUGGUCAUUCUUUCAAGAAUUUCCCUUCGAAUCCCCAAUUAGUGUACUAUGUAAAGAAACAGUAUCAAAACAAAAUUGGACAAGGACUGAAGUCAAAUUUCUACAAUACAUUGUGGCGAAACUAUCCAAAUUUUUCUUGGGGUAAUCAAGGAAAUGGAUCGAACAAUAACCAAAUGCAGUAUAGACCUAACCAAACCUAAGGGUUUAAUCAACAAGCCCUAAAACCACCUCAAAUUGAAUCAUGAAACAAUUUGGAGGACUUGUUGAAGGCAUACAUGGCGAAAAAUGAUGCCUUGAUCCAAAGUCAAGCAGCAACGCUGAAAAAUCUAGAGAACCAAAUGGGUCAAUUAGCUACUGAGAUUCAUAGUAGACCACAAGGAGCCUUGCCAAGCGACACAGAAAAUCUGAGAAAUUUGGGUAAGGAGCAUUGCAAAGUGGUAGAAUUACGAAGCGUUAAGACUUUAGAGCCUAAGAAGGUUGUGGUUCAAGAUGAGCCUGCUAGAAAGGAGGAAAGUCAACUGACAAUUGAAGUUCUUACAAUAGAAAAAUCUAAUGUAGAAAUAUUUGAUGAGGUAAACCCUAAACUAGUGAAUUCUAAAAUGCUACCAACCUCUUUUGUAGAUUUACCUCCUCAAAAAAGUUACCCAUAUCAACCUAGAGUUCGAUAUCCUUAAAGACUUUAACAGAACAAGCAGAAACAAGAGGUACAAUUCAAGAAGUUCUUUGAUGUUUUAAAGUAGCUACAUAUCAACAUUUUUUCGGUAGAGGCUUUAGAUUAAAUGUCCAAUUAUAUGAUAUCUUGUCCAAAAAAAUGACUUAGUGAGUAUAAGACUGUCACUUUAAUGAAGGAGUGUAGUGCGUUCUUACAGAACUGCCUCCGAAACUGAAGGAUCCUAGAAGCUUUACAAUACAUUGAACAUUGGUGAAUCAUAUUGCGGUAAAGCUUUGUGUGACUUAGGAGCAAGCAUCAACUUGAUGCCCAAAUCUAUUUUCAAGCUGUUGGGAAUAGGAGAAGUAAGACCCACUACUGUAACGCUUCAACUUGCUGAUCGAUUGUUAGCAUAUUUCAAAGGAAAGAUCGAGGAUGUUUUGGUAAGAGUGUCAAUAAAUUUAUUUUUCCUGCUGAUUUCAUUAUUUUGGAUUUUGAAGCAAACAAAGAAGUUUCGAUCAUCCUGGGGAGACCUUUCCUAGCCACGGGAAGAACAUUGAUAGAUGUGCAAAAAGGCAAACUCACCAUGCGAGUUCAAGACGAUAAGGUAACAUUUAACGUUCUGAGGGCAAUGAAAUUUUUUCGUUCAAUGGAAGAGUGCUCAGUAAUGGAGGAAUUAGAAAUCUUAGUUUCUAUGGAAGGCAAUUCUGAAGAAGACACAUUGGAGAUGAAAAAGGUAAUCAAUGUUUGGCUUCGAUGGAAGCCAAUUCAAGGAGUUAUAUUCAACCACCACGGUUCGACCUACUAGAGUUGGAAGUUCAAGAAAUUGUACAACCCAAGUCAUCAACUAAAUGUACUUCUAUCUCACUUGAAAUAUAUUUAUCUCGGUCAUAGUUCUACUUUGCCUGUGAUUAUUGUAACGGACCUAACAAAACAUCAAAAGGAGCAAUUGAUUGCUAUCUUAGAGAAAUUUAAGAAGACAAUUGGUUUGACCAUAGAUGAAAUACGAGGUAUAAGCCCUUCCUGCUGUAUGCAUAAAAUUAUUUUAGAGGAAGGUGAAAAAGGUAAGAUUGAUGGGCAAAGGAGACUUAACCCUAUCAUGAAACCAGUGGUUCAAAAGAAGGUAAGUAAGUGGUUAGAUGUGGGAAUUAUUUACCCCAUUUCAAAUAGUUCUUUUGUAAGACCAGUAUAAUGUAUAUCAAAGAAAGGUGAGAUCACAAUUAUUGAGAAUGAACGAAAUGAGUUAAUCCCGAUGAGAACUGUCAUGUGUUGGAGAAUCUAUAUUGACUAUAGAAAGCUAAACAAAGCUACUCAUAAGGAUCAUUUUCCUUUACCUUUUAUGGAUCAAAUGCUAGAUUGACUGGCAAGUAACAAAUUUUAAUCCUUUUUAGAUGCAUAUUCGAGAUAUAACCAAAUAUUUGUAGCCCUAGAAGACCAACAUAAAACUACUUUUACCUGUCCAUAUGGUACAUUGGCUUUUAAGCGAAUACCUUUCGGCUUAUGUAAUGCACCUGCCAUAUUUUAGCGAUGUAUGAUGGCAAUUUUCACUAAUAUGGUGGAAAAUUAUGUUGAGGUUUUCAUGGAUGAUUUCUCUAUUUUCAAUAAUACUCACAAUAUUUGCUUGAAUAAUUUGGCUAAGGUACUCAAAAGAUGUAAGGAGACGAAUAUUGUCCUUAACUAGGAGAAAUGUUAUUUUAUGGUUAAGGAGGGAAUUAUCUUAGGGCACAAAAUUUCCAAGAAAGGAAUCAAAGUGGAUAAAGUAAAUGUGGACGUAAUUGAAAGAUUACCACCUCUAGUUAGUGUGAAAGGAGUUAGAAGCUUUUUAGGCCAUGCUGGUUUUUAUUGUAGAUUUAUAAAGGAUUUUUCAAAAAUUUCUAAACCUUUAUGUGUACUUUUAGAAAAAGUUGUUGUUUUCUUAUUUUAACAAAGCAUGUUUAGAAGCUUUUGAAAUAUUGAAAAACCAGUUAACUUCAGCCCCAACAAUUAUCACACCUGAUUGGAACAUGCAUUUUGAGUCGAUGUGUGAUGCAAGCGGUUUCGCUAUUGGAGUUGUGAUGGGACAAAGAAGUAACAAAAUGUUUCGUCCUAUCUACUUGCUAGUAGAACUUUGAAUGGAGCCCAAAUCGAUUAUAUUUUAACUGAAAAAGAACUCUUUGCUAUAGUUUUUGCUUUUGGCAAGUUCCAUUCAUAUCUUAUAUGUACCAAAGUAACAAUGUUUACCGGCCAUACGGCUAUUAAGUAUUUACUCACGAAGAAAGAUGCUAAACCGAGGCUAAUUCGAUAGAUUCUUUUGCCCCAAUAAUUUGACCUUGAGAUCCAAAAUAGAAAAGGUGUUGAAAAUCAAGUAGCCGAUCAUCUAUCAAGGUUGGGACAAAAUAAGGUAACUUCUUCACUUGUUCUAAUUAAUGAAAAUUUUUCUGAUGAAUCUAUCUUCGAGGUAAGAAAAAUCUAUGAAAUAUCUUAGUUUUCUGAUUUUGUUAAUUACUUAGCAUGUGGAAUAAUUCCUCAAAAAAUGACGUACCCAUAAAGAAAGAAAUUCCUUCAUGAUGUCGGUACUAUUUCUAGGAGGACUCAUUUUUAUUUGAACAAUGUACAAAUAACAUAAUCAGGAAGGGUGUAGCUGGGAGUGAGAUUGAGGAAAUUUUGUACCACUGUCAUUCAUCUCCGAGUGGGGGACAUUAUGGUGGUUCACAAACAGCAGUAAAGAUUUUACAGGUUGGGUUCUUUUGGCCUACAUUGUUCAAGGAUGCUUAUGCAUAUGUAUGGAACUGCGAUAGAUGCCAAAGGAUUGGAAACAUAUCAAGAAGGAACGAGACGCCCUUAACAAACAUUUUGGAGAUAGAACUUUUCGAUGUAUAGGGCAUUGAUUUUCUAGGCCUGUUUCCUUCUUCAUAUGGUAAUAAGUUUAUUUUGGUAGUUGUGGGCUAUGUAUCCAAGUGGGUUGAAGCUGAGGCCUACCCAACUAAUGACACUAAGGUAUUUAUGCGAUUCCUGCAUAAGGACGUAUUUACACGGAUUGGGACUCUAGGGACCUCACUUUGUAAAUAAGUGUCUUAAGUGGUGGCUUGAUAAGAUUGUUAUUUCCUAUCACCUACAAUCUAAUGGGCAAGUUGAAAGGGUGGAUCUAGAAAUCAAAGGUAUACUUGAAAGGGUAGUGCGCCCUAACAGAACAGAUUGGUCUCGAAGGCUCGACGAUCCAGUAUGGGCCUAUCAAAAUACUUUUAAGACAUCAUUAGGGAUGACUCCAUAUCGGUUAGUUUUUGGAAAGGCAUGCCAUUUGCCGCUUGAAUUGGAGAAUAAAACUCACUAGGCUUUGAAGCAAUUGAAUUUUGAUCUUAAGCAAGCUGGUGAGAGAAGGAUGUUACAACUCGAUGAGUUGGUAGAGUUGAGGUUACUUUUAGAUGAGAAUGCCAAUAUGUGUAAGGAAAAAUAUAAGAAAUGGCAUGACAGUCGUAUUGAACCUCGUGAGUUCAAAAAAGGUGAGAAAGUAGUGUUGUUUAAUUCAAGGCUAAGGUUAUUUCUUCGAAAACUCAAAUCCCGAUGGAAAUGACCUUAUACCAUCUACAAAGUUUAUCCAUAUGGAGCUGUAGAAUUGUACGACAACCAUGGAGUUACGUUUAAAGUUAAUGGUGAAGUUAAGAGAAUUAAAACCUCGUUCAAAUUAAUAGACCCUUAAUCUCUCAUGAGCCUACUUUUUAAUAAAAUGUUAGAAAUUAUUUUUUUAAAUUAGUACAUUUAAUUAAUUUUGUCUAAGGACAAGGGAACUUAAGCGGGACCGUUGUGACCCCUCCAACCUUUCCUGGGAAUUAAUUUAAUGUAAUAUUUUAAGAAGAAAAUUUCAAAUUUAUUUUAAUCUUUUCUUUGUUUUAUUUUUAUUUUUAAUUUUUAUCUUUGUCUUUAAUUUUAAUUUUAAUCUUUAUUUUUAAUUUUAAUGUUAGUUUUAUUUAUUUUAGUAAAGGGGGUCAAUUUGGCUCAGUACUAAUAAGUUUAUUUGUUUUUAAGCACACCAAUUUUUAAAUAAAGUUUGGGAUCAAGGCCUAAAACAAUAAUUAGGAGAAAUUUAACUCAUUUAGUCGUCCAUAGGAUUCCAUAAAGCCCUAGUUUUUGCCACCAUAUCAUCCCUCCAUCUUACUUGCUGCCUAAGCCACUUAAAAUUAGCUAAAUUUAAGCUACAAGUCCAAGUCAUUUAAAUUAUCUAAAUUUAAGCUACAAAAUUACCCUAAUUCAUCACUAUAUAAACCACUCUCUACCUUCAUAAUUGUCACAACCCUUCAAGCUAUUUUAUGUUCAUUCUUUUCCCUCUUAGCCGUUGACCUAAAUCCCAAAAUUUCUUCCUUGUUAUAAGCCUCUAGUAUUGCCGCCGCACGACUUUUGCUAGAGCAGCCCCUUUGUCGUUGCAUCCUAUCACUGUAGCAAGCUUCGUGCUACUGCCAGUUCAUCACUGCCACAAAUCGAUCACCAUUGCAGCACCUUGCUCUCAUCCUUUGCCAAUUGCUUUUUCAAUUCUUAUGCCAAAAUUUUGCUUAAUUUUCGGGAAAAAUUUCUAUAUCCCGUAAGAGAACUAGAUCUUCCAAGACCUCUGACGAAAAUCCCAUUGUAAUUCAAUACAAAGAAGUGAAAGAAAGGUUUCAUUCAAUCUUUAAGAAUCAACGUAUGAUGUCGGAAAAAUGUUUCAACUAGGAAAGCAACGUUAAGAUGGUUGUUCCUUUGCCAAUUCAAAAGAUGAUUGAUGUCCUCAAUUGGAAUUAUUUUUGUGAUGCACGAUCAUUACCUGACGAGGAGUUAGUUCAAGAGUUCUAUGCCAAUUUGACUAAGCCGGAUGCUACUAAAGUUCUUGUUCACAAGAAUAAGGUACUCUAAUUUCUAAGUACAUUAAUAAUUUGUUUAACCUACCUGGUGCUGAAGAAGAUGAGUAUUUUGCCACGAUGACAAACAUACAUUGAGAUUUUCUUCAACAAGUGCUUAAUAUUGUGACAAAUCCAGGAUCCCAAUAGAUUAUAAGGAAGUAUGGUAGUCACUCUUGCUAAAGGGAAUAUUUAAAGUCGUUGGCUAAUAUAUGGUUUUACUUUGUUUGAUAUAGUUUCAUGCCUAUCUCUCACAGUUUCACUAUCUCAAUAGAGCGAAUACUUUUGUUGUAUGUAAUUAUGACAGAAAGGUCCAUCAAUGUUGGGAAUAUAAUUCUUAAAGAGAUCUUUCAUUGUGCUAGAAAGAAGACUGAAAGUGCUUAUUUCUCAUCAUUGAUAACAUCACCUUGCUUAAAGGCCCAAGUCAAGACAAAAGAAAACCUAAAGGGCCCAUAUGUUCAAGGUUGCAUUAUAGCCCAUGAUCUUGAAAGGUUAGUGGAGAAUGUCCAUGAAUUAAACCCAAUUGAACCAAGUGAACCGAAAAAACUAGAAACUAAUGAGUCAUCGAACAAGUCUUAAACUGAAGCUAACUCUGUUACUGAAAUUGAAGAGGUAGAAUCAGAGGAAAAACCAAAUAAGCCUGAACAGGUAAAGGAACCAGAAACUUCUGGACCAAAAGAAGAGUUGAAUGUUGAUGAGCCAGUUGAACCAAGUGUUGAUCCAGAGUUGAGUAAUCCAAUGCCCACUUCUUCAAAAUCUAUGAAGAAAUCAAAAUUGUCAACUAUGAUGGAUGUGAUGAAAUUUAUGCAUAACCAACAACAGGCUUAUUGGACAUAUGCAAAAGUUAGAGAUGAUUCUGUAAGAAAUACUUUUAAAAAUAUCUCUAACAGUUUUGUUCUUGAGUUCCCAGAUUAUAUCUUCGAGUCAUGGAAGGAAGAUGAUAAAGAAAGCGAGGACGAAACAUUAAAAGAGGGAAACGAGGAGGAUAAGUCAAAUAAAUAAAAAGAGGGGAGUUCUUUUCUUUUAGUUUCUAUUUCUUUUUAGGUGCUUAUUUUUAUUUCUUACUUAGUAUUUUGCUUUCGCAUAAUUAAAUAGCAAGCAUGAAUAAAAUAUGCUCCAUGCCUAUUCAAUAGAAAGAAAAUAAAGUGAUGUGGUAAUAGGAAUGAACAUGUCUAGGAUUGGAUUGUUGAGAAAGGCUUGGUACUUAAGAAGUCUUUAUGACUCACCUCUCUUUUCUUGCAACCCUUCUUGGUGUUCAAUUUUCAUUCAUUACUUUGUUUUCGCAAUGGGGACAUUACUUCUUUUAAAAGGGGGUAAAGCAAUUUCGUAUGAAUUUUAAAGUAUGUUUCAAUCUUUUUACUUAAGUAUGUUGAAAUAAAUGACUAUUCAGAAAUAAUUUUUGUUCAUGAAUCUAUUCAAAUGCAAGCAUGAUUUUUUAUUUUAUUUAAGUUAUUCACAUGUUAUCAUUGAAUAAUGGAAAGCUUGUAUGAUCUUAGUCUUAUGUAGGAUUUGCCAUGAAAAUUUGAUUUCUUUAGAAAUAGACAUGCAUGAAGGUUUAAGUCUUUAGAAUUGACUUAGUAACUUUCUUAAGGCGAAAUCCUACGAGGUAUAAGACUCUAAUAUGAUAUAGGCACACUUUCUUUGGAUUGUUGAGCCUUUCAAGCUGACUUAAUGAACUUUAACCCUUGAAACUUAAUUUUGAGCUUAAUGGCUUGUUUGUUGCAAAUGACCUACAUUAUAAGCCACAUUAACAUCUUUUUUUUUAUUUUUAUCCUAUUCUUUUGCACCUAUCUUAACCAAAAAAUUUUCAUGGUGAUCAAAGUUUAAGGAAAUUAUGAGAAGAUGUACAUGCUCUUCACAUGUUCAAAAACAAGAGAGAAAAAUGAAUAAAUAAGCAAAGAAAAUUUUGCUCAAAAGCAAAAGAACAUAAGAGAAAAUAAAGGAAUGGUCAAAGUCUCAAAAAUAAAGAGCAAAGUUUGCUCAAAGUUCAAGAAAAAUAAAAGUGGAGCAUAAGUUCGAAAUAAGUUUGGGGGUAUUCCAAAGACCCAUUUGUAUGAAAUUUGUGACGCCAAAUGAUCUAAGACAAAGUUAAGGUUAAGAUGUUUUGAACCUAAAAAUCACUUCUCUUUAUCCCUACCUUUAGCCUAGCCCCAUUACAACCUAAUAAAAGACCUAUUGAUUCGAUGAUUAUACCGACUACAUUAGUGGAGAGGGCCUAGAUAGAUAUAUGAAGAAAAAAGAAAAUAAAGAUUCACUUUCUUGUUUUCAAAAAAAUCAAGAAACCAAAUCUUGGUCUAAUUAUGCGGCUUUUGGAGAUUUCAAGAAUCAAGAAAAUCAAUAUUUCAAAUCUUGGAAUUCUUUGUCCAAGAAACUGAAUCUUGAAGUUGGUGUUUGAUGGCUUACAUGAUGAUAACUCUUGAAAAGAGUUAUAAUUCAUACUUUUAGACUUAGUUAAUUGCUUGUACAUAAGUAAAAUUAGCUUCAUUUGAGGUAAUUGCAAGAUUAUUUCUAGUCAAUCGAGCAGUGCAUCUAAGAACUUGUUGUGGCUGAAUGACAGGUUUAAAGGAGAAGGAUAGCAGAGGAUAGGUUUGUUGAGGUAUUAUGAGAGGUUUCCAUGGCAAUGCUAGUUAAGAAAAAGACAAACACCUAGUAGCAAUGAGAGCACUUAGCAUUUGGUCCCCUACAUGCACGAGUAAUGGAGAAUAUUCACCUUAAAAUUAGUGAAAAAGCAUUCAUUGGCUGACAAGUUUUACCCUAGAGGAUAACCCAAAUAUAAAAGGCAAUAAAAAGUGGAGAGACGAAAGAGAAAAAAACUGUAAUUGUCCUAAUCUUGGACAGAGGUCUCAUUGUGGUAAGAAGGGUAAGUUGAGCUGACUAUGAACUUUGGUGAAGACAAGAAACAAGACACCAAGUUGGGGGGAUUGGAGUUUUGAAACCCAGAUUUCUUUCUCUGCAUUUUGUUUCAAUUCUUCUAUUCUAAACUGAUAUUUUGGGAUAUUGAUGAUACGAAAACAACUUCAAUUUGUGUAGCCCAGCCAUGAGCUAACUUAAUAGGGCUGGGGUUUGUUUUGAAUGAUGUUUUAACUUUGAUUAAUGUUUAUGGUUUAAUAUGGUUCAUAUUAUUGCUUUACCCAAUGGAUUUUUUUGUUUAAAUGCUUAAGAGAGUGUUGAUGAAUGCUGAAUAAGUCUUAAGGUAGCUUGACACCGACUUGAAUAGGUUACCUGGAUCGAAGUUGGGUAAUAUAAAUGAGUGCUAAGUGAAAUACUCAUGUCAACGCUAGAGAUAGAGCCUUACCUUAUACGAUUUAAAGGGUUGAGAUUUAGCAGUAGUUGCUAAUCCUAAGCCUAUAGACAUAUAAUGCCUUAGGGGUGAGUAACCCUAGGUCUUGCUUUCGGCAGAGUUAAAACACAUUAGUACCCAAUCGAACAAUAAGUUCGCCAUAGUUUUGCCAUGGCAUUGUUCACGAGUUAGCAUAGACCCCUUAGUAAUCCCAACCUUCACGACCAAUAUUCGAACCUUGCUAAAGUCCUUAGUACUCUUCUUUGAUUUGUUGCAAUGGUAAUCUUUACUAGUAUACUUCAUUACUUUCACUUCUAAUGUGUUAACCCUAUUUUAAUUUCAUUAAACAUCAUUUGAUACAUUUAUCUUUUCUAUUCAAUUGUGAUAACUUAGACAAAGAGCACUCAUCCAAUCUUCGUGGGAAUCAUACUCACUCAUCACUUUAUUACUUGAUUCGAUGUGUACACUUGCACAAUUCGCACAUCAUAUUCACACGCGACAAGUUUUUGGCACCAUUACCUGGGAUUGGCGAUUGGUAACUUUAGUUUUUGUUAUUACAAUUUUUAUAGUUUUAGUUGCUAAUUUGUUUGUUUCAUGAUCUCAAUAGGUCUGGCGUAGAGGCAUUCCUAUUGAAGGACUCUAUCCCUUAGAUCUAGAAAUUGAAAGGAUAUUGCUAAGAAAGAGAACAGAACAAAGAGAAAUGAAUCAAGACAGUAACAAUCCACCUGCUAUGAAUGAGAAACUUAAUCCGAAAGCUCCAAAUGUUAAUCCUCAUGCUGCUUAGAUGUUUGAUGAUCGGGAUAGGCCAAUUCGAGAGCAUGUAGUGCCUAUCUUAGACAACCUAAGUCCUAGAAUAAUCAAGCCACAAAUUCAAGCUCCCCACUUUGAACUAAAACCUGUAUUGUUCCAGAUGCUUCAAUCAAUUGGUCAGUUUGGUGGUUUGCCAAUUGACGAUCCCAGAUUGCACUUGAGACUUUUCUUGGAAGUCUAAUAUUAUUUCAAAAAAUAAGGUGUCCUUGAAGAUGGCUUAAAGCUUAAACAGUUUCCCUAUUCUUUAUGAGAUCGUGCUAGAACAUGGCUCAAUGCUUUACCAUCUAGAAUAAUAGAAUCAUGGAACGAUCUCUACCGAAGAUUUCUAUUGUGAUAUAACCCACCCAAUAUGAAUGCCAAACUGUGAGAAAUGGCAUAACAUCCUUUAAGCAACUAGAGGAUGAAACAUUGUAUGAAGCAUGGGAAAGGUUCAAAUAUUUUCUUAGGAAAUGUCCUAUGCAUAGAUUUAAGCAUUGGACCCAAAUGGAGAUGUUCUACAAUGGUAUAAAUGCACAAACACGAAUUGACAGCCCUAAUGUGACCCUAGUCGGGAAGUGGUUUCGGGACCACUAAACCGAGUCAUAAAAAUAAUUAACCGUCAUAAAUGAUGCUCAUUAUAUGUACAUGUGCAUGUGUGAAAAUUUCGUGUUUGAAUUUUGUUUAAUUGUAGGUGAAUUUUAGUAAAUAGGACUUAUGUGAGAAAAUUUUGAAAUGUGAUAGGUCAAAGCAUAAGGAUCUAUUAGUGCAUGAAAUAAAAAGGGGGGACUUGCAUGUCAAUUUCCCCCCCUAAUUAGUAGUGGUCGGCCAUGACAAGCAUGGUAGACCAAGUGUGAUGGGCAAGAGCUGUCAUAAACAUGUUGAGUUAGUGUUUCAUGGGAAGUAUGAUAAAAUAAGGAGCAUGGGCAUAAAAUAAUGAAAGGGAAUAUGAUGAAAACAAAAAAAAGUGUGUGGUUGUCCCCCCCCAUUUUGCCGAAACUAGAAAGAAAAACAAAAAAAAAAGUGUUCAUCCUUUGGUUCAUCCUUGGCCAAAAAUUUUAAGGAGGAAGGAAGAAGAAAGGUUGAAGAGGUUCGGCCAUGCAUGUAACUAGGCUAAGGUAUGUUUGAUGAUGUUCCAUGAGAUGCAUGCAUGUUUUAGUUGUUAGCUUGAGUUCUACCUAGCCCAUGGUCUAAAUCUUGCUAUGUGAUGGAAAUGACACUCGGCCAUGGAUGCAUCAUUCUUGCUUGGUGUUGAUGUUGUGUUGGUGAGAUACCAAGUUAUUUUUGUGACCAAGUUGAGAUUUGAAUUUUUGAAUGAGUAAGGUUUUCGGCUAUGGUAAAUAUAAGGGUGAUGGAUGUUGUGUCAUGCUAAAUCUAGAUGAACAAUGUUAGUGCUUAUAUCUCAAUAUUCAUGAGUUUCUUUCUUGGUUUUACCUCAAACCCAUGAAGUAUUUUAAUUGGUGUUGUUAGAAGUUUCGGUCAUGGGAUUAUAAGCUUGUUAGUUUUGAUGAUGAAAUUUAUGCCUUGCAAGGGUAAAUGGUGUCUUGAUGCAUUCGGCCAUGGUAGAAAGUAGAAGUGAAAUGGUAGUAAGAUAACAUGCAAAAUUGUUAGUAUUUGAUUUCUAGUGUAUACAUGCGUAUUAGCCGAGUUUUGAAUUUGAAACGAAACGGUAUAUAACCAAUACAAGUAACCAUACUUGUGGGAAGUCUUAAGCAUAUAAUUGGCCUCAACAUAUACAUGCAUACUCGGCCAAAUGAGAAGAUUUGUGUUGCAUGCAUUCGGUUAGAGGCAAGCAUAUUGAUGCCUAUAUCUUGGUUAGGACAAUCGGCUAAAAGGGAGUAUGGGUUAAUAUGUUGAGUUGAUGCAUGAUUUCACAUGUAUGUGACUUUAAUGUCUAAUGUAUAAAUAUGGGCUAAGUGCCUCGUGUUCCUCUUUUCGAUGCUCAAAUGAUUAAAUCAAUUUAUUUGUUUAAUUAAGCUCAAGAGCAAAAGGGAACUAAAUCCGAUAAAGGGAAGGAAAAAGUGGUCGAAUAGCCAUCGGAAUCGUUCGACAACAUCCGAGGUAAGUUCUUGAGUAAUAGAGCUUAAAUUAUGAUUUGAUUAGAUCAUGUUUUAAGCAAAUCAAAAUCAUGCUCUUUGUGUGUGGCUAUUGAGCCGAAAUUGCAAGAAUGAUAAGUGUCUUGUGUUUGAGUUUUGCUAACGAAAAUGAAAUACGAAUGUGCCAUGAUUUAUUGUUAAAUGUGCAUGGUUAUUUGAACGAUGUCCGGGCUAAGUCCCGAAGGCUUUGUGCUAAGUGACCAUAUCCGGACUAAGAUCCGAAGGCAUUUGUGCGAGAUACUAAUUCCGGGCUAAGCCCGAAGGCAUUGGUGCGAGUUACUAAAUCCGGGUUAAGUCCCGAAGGCAUUUGUGCGAGUUACUAUAACCGGGCUAAGUCCCGAAGGCAUUUGUGCGAGUUACUAUAACCGGGCUAUGUCCUGAAGGCAUUUGAACGAGUAGCUAUAUCCGGUUAAAUUCCGAAGGUAUGUGAUUUGGGAAUGAAUGAUCUUGCUGUAAAAAUUUCAGUUAAUACGCUUGAACAUCCCAACAUUGAGGUAUGUUUCGUAUGUGCUUUGAAUUAGUUGAGCCCUUACAAAUAAGUAUUCGCUCAGUUGAUAAAUGAGCUACCGGCCUUUGGCUAAGUUGAUCUUUUGUGUAUGAACAUAAGGGUUGGUAAUGU
RNAcentral lists this long non-coding RNA (58082 nucleotides) under Gossypium barbadense (sea-island cotton). Its description in RNAcentral is "long non-coding RNA (GBAR_LNC017188)". The record is from RNAcentral. Lineage: Eukaryota; Viridiplantae; Streptophyta; Magnoliopsida; Malvales; Malvaceae.